This 55575-nucleotide long non-coding RNA is filed under the name Gossypium barbadense (sea-island cotton). RNAcentral's name for it is "long non-coding RNA (GBAR_LNC017701)". The record is from RNAcentral. Lineage: Eukaryota; Viridiplantae; Streptophyta; Magnoliopsida; Malvales; Malvaceae.
CCAAGUUGGCACUUAAAAUCUAGUUAGACUGCCACGUAGGAUUACCGUUAGGGAGAUAACGGAACUUAACGGAAGAGUAAUCACUUCGUAACAAAAUAAUAACAUAAGUGACUAAAACGUAACAUUUCAAACAUAAAUAACUAAAAUGUAACCUGAGGCAAACAAAAGUGACUACUUUUAUAGUUUACCCUUUAUAUUGAUGAUGUUUAAUAUUUUGAUCAUUACAAUAUUAGAAGAUGAUAGAGUUUGAAUUCAUAUUAAUUAGAUGUCAUAAUUCUAACCAAUACUCUAAUCCGUAUUAUUUCUUAUAAAAAUUUUACAUAUGUAAAUUUACUUAUAAUGUUUAAAAUUUUAAAAUUUUUAUUUGGUCAUAAGAAAUUUAUAUAUUGUGUGCAGGAGAAUGAAUUAUAUGAAAUAGGGAUGUGAUGGGUGUCGAAACCACUAAAUAUAAUUUCCUAUUCUCUAACUUAAUUAAAUAGUAGUAUAGAGUAGUAGGGUCGAUCCCACAGGGACUGGGACUUCUAAUUUUCUUGUUUACGUAACCAGGUUCCUAAGUCUAGGUAGUUGUCGUACCCAUGAUAUGUGUGUUGCAGAGUUGAAAAAAUAAAAGGGGGAUUUUAGUUGAUAAAUAAAAUAAAAAACAAAUAUAAAAUAAAAUAAUAACAGUGCAAAAUAAAAUUAAGGCAAUUAAAUUAAAUUGGUGAAUCAAAUAUGUUAAUGCUUAGCCUCAGCUUCAGUAUACUUCGAAAUCAAAUCGAUCCUUAAAAGUAGAUUUUCCUUUUAAACGAUAAGCUAGUUAUAGUGAUUAAGGAAGCCCCAACCGCCAACUUUUCCUUGUGUAGUUGGUUCUCUAGUAUGACCUGUAAACCAACUCUUACUGAUUAUCUAACCACGUAACAUGCGUCCGCAAUUUAAUAUCUCAGUAGCCUUGUGAUCUAGAAAAGCCCAACUCAAAUUAACGACCUCAACCGCAUGGGUCGUUUAAAUUCGAUCACUAUCUCCCUUGACGAAAAAUAACUAUCUUUUUCCAUUUGAACAUGCCAAUUUGUUCACGGGAACUCAAAUACGGUAGACGACCAACUUGAUUUCCCAAUUUUUUGCCAAUACAACUCCCACCCAACGUGCACUUUGAGCUGAAAUUUGAUCAACUUUAAAGGACGAUUGUGACUAUCUCAAAUACCAAAGAGAUAACGAAUGCCAUGUUGAAAGGUUUUUAGUGCGGGUUCAUAUCUCACGAUUUUUUUGGUCGAAAUGAUAACUGGGCUAAAACUAAAAGGAAAUAGUUGAGUAUGAAACUAAUCAUGCUUAAUGAAAUAUUAGAAUGGGUUUAGGUGUAAUGGUGAUAGGUGGAGGAAGGAAGGGACUUAAAGAGGAAUUCAACCAAAGAAAAUAGAAAAAGAAUCGCAGAAUGCUUGUACUGCUAAAAGACGAGUGAAAGAGAAAUGAAAUAAAUGAUUUUUAUUCAAUUUCCAGUCUAUUUUCCAAAGUAACCUUACAAGGUAUUUAUAUACAUUUCAUAUGUUAAUUUUAGCCUGAUUCAUCUAACAACCAACCACAUAAAACCAGAUUUUAUAUCAGAUUUUUUUUCUAAAUUUAACUUUUACAAAGUCAAAUAGAAAAUCUGAUCAGCCAUAAAUUUCUCAAAAUUUUCAAUUCGGCCCCCUUUUAUUGCUUGUGCUCUAAUUUAGCUCGAUUUGCUUGUUCACUCAAAUUUCGAUACUCCAACUACGUACCUGGUAAAAUUUAAAAAAAUUACAAGCUCAGUAGCAAAAAUUGCCGAAAUUGGGCGUGUUAAACAUACAAAUUCAGCUUAUUAUCAGGAUGUCAUGUCAUCUUAUAUUCCAUUCCAAUAAUUGUAUGCCAUGUCAUUAUUUUUUCAUCUCAUUCUGAGGACAAUGUCACAUAAGAUAAUAUAUUACUAAUAAAAAUUAAUGUUUUAAAGCAUAAAUAAAUUAAGAAAACAUGGUAAAUUUAAUUAAAAAGAAAACAAAAAAACUUACGGGUUCUCUUUACUAACAAAAAUCCUUCUGGGUUCUCUAUGAAGAAAACCAUAUGUCCCCUCUCUCUCUAUGAAAAUAAAAUGUCCUCUCUAUUUCGUCUAUGUUGGCUCCUCCAUCGUAGAUUUGACUAUAGAUCACUACACCAAGCCAGAAAAAUGAGAGAAAGAGAAAGAAAGGAAGAGUGAAAAACCAAAGAUUUAAAAAAAAUGUUCUAUAGAACCAUGGGUAAAUUUGAUUAAACUAAUUUUUUGAUAUUUAAGAAAAUUGAUUGAUUUUGGAUAGAGAAAUAGAAAACGCGUCCUACAAAAUGCGUUUUCUUUACUAACUUAACACAUCAAAUUCUUUUGUUAAACUGUUAAAUGUUAAUAGUUUUACUUUUAGUCUCGAGUUCAAUUCUCCUCCUUCUCACAUUUGUAUUUUUUAUUUCAUGUUGUUUUAAACUUCAUUUGUAUUUUAAAAUUGAUUUUUGAAAAAUAAAAAUAUGUGAAACUAGAAAACAAUAAAACAAAUAUUUUUUUUAUUAUUUUUGCUAAAAAUAGUUUGUAAAACUGAAAAUGUUAAAAACAAUGGUUUUUUACUUUAAAUGAAUUAAUUCGAGUUCAAACUUAUAUAAAUAUAAAAAAAUAUUCUUUUCUUUUCAAUAGUUUUUCAAAUAUUAAAUUUGGUACUCUGAUUCAAAUCCGGAUAAAUAUAAGUUUUUAGAUUUUAUUUCUAAUAUUUGUAUUAUAAAAAAAAUAGAGGUACCAAAGAUAUUUUCAUGUCCUUAUUAUUAGAAAAAAUAUUUUUUAUUUAGAAAAGGUGUUUUUUUUAAUUUUUUUAAAAUAAAAAUAAAAGAAUCUUUUCAAGAACGGAAAUGUCUUCGGAAAUUUUGAUCUCAUCCAAUGAUCAGGGAGAUAAUGGGGGGACUCCAAUGAAGAUUCACAUCACAAAGAAAGUUUAUUUCAAAGAGACGAUUGAGGAUACUGUUGAAAACAUGGUGGUAGAUCUGAGUCUGAAUGUCGUGGUCUUUUGGAAGGAUAAACUCUAGGGUGGGAUAACGGAUGACCCACCAUUAGGCUAUGGUAUUAUCAAUGAAGAGGAUUUGGUCUUUGUUGAGGGUGAUAUUUUAAGAUCCAACGUCAAUGUGAUUUCGACUAUUGAUUUUUCUGAUCGUCUCAAGAAAUGUCUUGUUAAAGACAUGGAAACCACUGUUGUUGUGAAGCUGUUGGGAUGAAACAUAAGUUAUGGGGUUUUACAUUACCGGAUCUCCAAUUUGUGGAGGCCCUCUCAACCUUUUCAACUUAUAGAUGUCGAAAAUGGUUAUUACUUGAUUAGGUUUCAAAGUAAAGUCGACUACGAUAUGGUGUUGACUUGAGGGCCAUGGGUUGUUUUUGGCCAUUACCUUAUUGUUUAACCUUGGACGGUUGAUUUCAGCCCGUCGAAGCCAUUUCCAAACAUGGUUCUGGCGUGGAUCCAUUUUUCGAGUAUGCCAGGCUUCCUCUACAAAUGAAAAGUUUUAGAAGAAAUUGGUAGCUUGAUAAUCAAAGUAGUCCACUUGGAUAUUAAAAUAUAUAGUGGCAUAAGAGGACAAUUCGCAAGGAUGGUUGUCUUCGUCUAUUUGGAAAAGCCACUUGUCUCACAGAUCCUUACAAUUGGAAAACUUCAAAGGGUUGAGUUUGAGUCUUUGCUAGCCAUUCGCUUCUCCUAUGGCUGUUAUGGUCACCUUAAGGACGUCUACCUUUAUAAUGGUUCGGAUCUGAAUUCCGUUGCUGGUAAGGAAUAGGUCUUUAAUCUGAUUGCCAAUGAAUCUGUUCCCGUGGGGAUGAGUGAUCCUUUUGGCCCACAAAUGAUUGUGGAACGAAAAUCGUGCUGAAACCAAAAAGAGAUUCAAAAUUAGAAGCCGAAAAUCUCGGAUAAGGAAUCAGAUAAAUCUCGUUUUAAUGCUUUAAGCACGCUGGAUAAUAUGGCUAUCAGUUUCAGUGAUAAGCAUCAAGGGUUUGAAGAGAUUGUUUUACAUAAAGGAGAGUUUUUAAAUAACUUAGGUGUUAAGACUAUAGAGCUAACUCUGGGUUGUCUAAUGGAAAAAAUAAAAGAGACCGACAAAUGGACCAAUCAAGCGGCGUGGGGUCCAAAUGGUCAAAGUCGCAAUUGCCAGUAAGUAACAUCAAGCUUGCUAUGGGAUCCGAUUUUCAUGAAUAAAUUAACUCAGUGGAGCUUUCACAGGUUUUUACUGGGUUAAAAAGGUUGUAAGUGACCGGGGCACACUUGACCUAGCACCUCUCUUAGACGACAACAAUUCGGAGGGAAUGAUGCUUUCAAAACAGGCUAAUAACAGUAAGAUUGUUUCAAAAUCCAUGAUUAAAAUUCUAGUAAGUCUUUAAUUCAUUUCAAUAUUGUUUAUGAAGGCCUAAUUGAAUCUGUGGUAGAUUUGAAUUCGAAAUCCGUUGACCCCAAUAAGCAUUCUAUCGUUACUUUUAGGGAAAAUUUAAACCCUAAUUCUUUUAAUUUUUCAUAGGCAAAAGAGUUGUUGGUUUGUAAAUUUCCUCUUUCAGGUACUAGAAGUAAUGACCCGAGGGCAAGGAAAAAAUGUUCAAUGAGGGAAGACCCUCAGCAAAACCAUCCAUGGCCAAGGGGGAUGUUUUAAAGUAGCAGGAAACUCUCAUAUUCCUCUCCCAAAAGCCAUGUCUGCCUCAGCUACGAUCAUUAGCUCUCAAACUGUAGCUGAAGUAGAUAAGUUUGAUAAAUGUCAUGAUGACCAUAUUAGUGGUGUUAGGCUUGAAGAGAUUUCCUAGGAGGUUUGUUUUCUUACCCUUAUUUUUUUAUUUAUGAAUUUUACAAUUUUCUAUUAAAAUUGUCAAGGUGUGCUACUUCCAAGUUCUCUCGCUUUUUCCAUGAGUAUAACCAUAAACACAAGCCGGAUUUAAUUGGUUUUUUAGAAACAAGAGCCAAUGGAUACAAAGCUGAUUCAAUCAUUGCCAAGCUCGCGUUACAGUCUUCUCAUCACGUUGAGGCAAUCGGUUUUUUUAGUAGCAUCUAGAUUGGAUGGAGAGACUCGUUUGAUGUAGAGGUUCUCAAAAGUCAUCCCCGAUUCCUAAUAGUCUGAAAUAAAGACAUCUCUAAAAAGCCCUUAAAAAGUUUAAUCUAAUAUAUGGGAGCUCGUGGUUGGCAAUUGGUGAGUUUAACGCCAUUCUUUCUUCCAAUGAAAAAAAAUAGAGGAAACCUUAGCGAGAAGAUGCCUUUUAUUGGAAAGUUCAGGGACUCGUUUAAACUGCUUGAUUUGGGUUUUCAAGGCUUGCAAUUUACAUGGCAAAGAGGUGGAGUGUUUGAGAGGUUGGAUAGGGCAUUUGUAAUUUUCCUUGGAAUUUAGCUUUCCCUCAUGCCACAGUAACUCACUUGCCUAAAUUAAAAUCUGAUCACCGUCCUCUUCGAGUGGAUCUUCUAACUGAUAUUUAUUCUACCGAGCAUUCUUUUAAAUUUCUUACGGGAUGGGUUGAGCACCCAACCUUUUCAAACUUUGUUAAAGAAAAUUAGAGUGUCUCUGGUAGCAUAUCAACGACACACUCUAAUUAUACAAACAAAGUGAAGAUUUGGAAUAAGGAUGUGUAUGGUCACAUUACUUCUCAUAAGAAUCACUUAAUUCACAAGCUUAAUAACAUUCAGUCUGUGCUUGAUAGUUCUAAUUCAGUAUUUCUACAUCAGUUGGAAAUGGAAAUCAAAGAAGAGUUAGAUAAUGUCUUACAUUAUGAGGAGCUUUUGUAGCGUCAAAAAGUAAGGUGUGAUUGGUUGUCUUAGGGGAUCGCAACACUAAAUUUUUCCACAGGCGCACCUUGCAAAGAAGAAAGCAGAACAGAAUUGUGACCUUAAAAAAUGAUUUAAGGGAAUAGAUUUUGGAUGAGGAUAGGUUAAAGACGGAGACAAUUAAUUUUUGUGGAAAUCUCUAUAGGGAACAUCCAGGGCCGAUGCCUGUUUUACCACCUACUGCCUUCCCGCCUUACGGAUUUUGAUAUUUCUUUUUUGAAUAAAUCGUUAUCUGAUGAGGAAAUUAAGUCUGCGCUCUUUGAAAUGGCUCCUUUAAAGCCUUCAAACAGUGAUGGGUAUCACGCUUUGUUCUAUCAAAACCAGUGCGAUCAUGUUGGAGCUUAUGCUUGUAAUUGGGUUAGAAAAGUUUUCUCUAGGGAUAACAUUAAUCUUGUUCUUAAUAAUUCGCUUCUUUUGCUCAUCCCCAAACAGUAGAGCCCAAAAUUUUUCUCUUAUUUUCGCUCAAUCAGCCUUUGCUCUAUUCUCUACAAGCUAGUUAUGAAGAUCAUCGCGAAUCGGUUUAAAAUUGUCUUUCUACAGAUAAUUGGCCCUAAACAGGCCAGUUUUGUAGCUGGCAGAAACAUCACAAAUAAUGUUAUUUUUGCGUAAAAAGUCAUUUAUUCCAUAGGAAGCAAGUACAAGAACAGGAGAUAGAUGGCUAUUAAAAUUGACUUAGAAAAGGCAUAUGACAGAGUCCACUGGGAUUUCAUAGAAACAUCUCUUCAGGCUGUAGGUAUUCCUCCAUUUCUCCUUAAUGCUAUUAUGUCAGCUAUUACUACUUCUACCAUGCAGGUUCUAUGGAAUGGGGUUCCAACCCAGAAAUUUUGUCCGGCUAGAGGAGUUCGCCAGGGAUGUCUGUUGUCCCUGUAUCUUUUCAUCUUGUGCAUGGAAUGGCUAGGUCAUAGCAUUCACUCAGCCAUAGAUGCAGACAGUUGGUCCCCUAUUUGAUUGGCUCGUACUGGUCCACCUUUUUCUCGUCUCUUUUUUUAUAGGUGAUUUGAUUCUUUUUGGGCAAGCCGAUGAAUAUCAAGCCAAAGUCAUCAAAGGUUUCCUCAACAAUUUUUGUAAGGUUUUGGGUCACAAAAUCAAUAUGCGGAAAACCAACAUCUUUUUCUCGAAUAGGGCUGAAGAUGCCGUAAGGGAUUAUAUAAGUAGAUUAUUUGGUUUCUGAAAAGUGCACAAUCUGGGUUCUUAUCUAGGGAUUCCCCUUUUACAUAAGAAGGUCACUACUAAUACUCUAUGGUUUGUUGUGGAUAAAGUUCGCAGUAAACUGUCCGAUUGGGAUGUAAAACAACUUUCUGUAUCUAGAAGAGUGACUUUGGCUCAGUUGAUUUUGCUUGCAAUUCCAAAUUAUUUCAUGCAAUCAAUGACGAUAAAUUGUCAGAGCAAGGAAGAUGGCUCUUGUUGGAUGGGAUUCGGUGUGCCCAUCUAAAGCUAAUGAAGGUCUUGGGUUAGGGCAUUAAAGGGAUCAGAAUACUUCUUUCAUAAUGAAGGUUGGUUUCAAUAUUAUGACCAACUCUAAUUACCUUUGGGUUAGGGUCCUCAGAUCGAAGUAUGGGUUUCAAGGUAGUUUACCUAAGGCUUUAAGAAAUGGGUGCUACUAUUAUUUUUUUGGAGAUCCCUCACAAAGGUAUGACCUCUUAUUCGGGAGAAUUUAAUUUGGUCAGUAGGUGACAGAAAUUGUAUAAAUUGUUGACAUGACCCAUGGAUCCCCAAUAUCGGCCCCUUGUAUAAGUAGAUUCCCUCUUGCUCUAAUCUUGAUUUGAAUUGUCCUCUUAAUAACUUGGUUACAAAUGAUGGUUCAUGAAACUUAGACUUUUUCAGACUAUGGGUUAAUGAGGAUAUCAUCAACAAAAUUGUGGGAAUCCCACCUCCUCAUUCCUUAUCUAGACCAGAUAGGAUCAUUUGGGGGGGGUCUUUGACUGGGUCUUUCUCUCUUAAAAGUCAAUAUAGUAAGCUUCGAGAAGGCACUAAGAAUUUAAAAGAACCUAUAUGGAAGUUACCGUGGAAGUUUCAAGGUCCUCAACGAGUUCGAUACUUUCUGUGGCUUGUUUUCAAAGAACGCUUAUUAAUGAACACAGAAAUGAUGCUGAGAGGAAUAGGAAAUGAUAGUGCUUGCAAAGUCUGGGGAUUUGGUGCCGAUGAUGUUUUACAUGUCCUUAGAGAUUGCCCUACGGCCAAAGACAUCUGGAACAAGCUCAUCCCUACAGAUAAGCUCUUUAAUUUUUACUCUAAUUCUCUUUAUGAAUGGAUGAUAGUGAACCUUCUUAACCAAUGGUUUUUUUUCCUUAAAGGAGUUGACUGGUAGUGCCUUUUUGGGAUAUUUCUUAGCGCAUUUGGAAGAAUCGUAAUCUCUACAUUUUUCAGGACUACUCAUGGAAUACUGAGGAUAUCAUCAAUGUAUAUGUUAGUUGGUCAAACUAGUUUACCUCUGCAUCCAAAUCUUUUAAGCAUGGUUCAUAAAGCCUUGUUACGAGACCAGAUCCAACAAAGAAUUGUGUACACCUAACUACAGAUGGUUCUGUCGGAAUUGAGGACGAGUUUGCUACUGUCGGAGGAUUUGUAUGUGAUCACAAUAGGGAGUGAAUCUUCGGUUUUAGCAGAUACUUGGGCAUGUGCACAGUUGUUGACGUUGAACUCUGGGCAUUCUAGAUGGUUUGAAACUUACUCUACAACGGGGCUAUGGUAACUUGCUAAUUCAAACUAACAGUCUUGAAGUCGUUAUUGCUAUUCAAGACGUAUCUUUUGGAGGUUCUAAUUCGGCUCUUGUUAGGAGAAUUCACCAACUUUUAGAUUCAGUAAAACACUGAAAAAUUCAACAUAUCUCUUAGGAGGAGAAUAGAAUUGCAGAUAGACUUGUCAAGAUGAUUCGUAACAAGAGUUUUGGUCUUAGACUGGUUGAAGAUUCUCUUUUAAAGAAUUUAGCUUAAUUAUCUGGGUAAUUAGUUUCUCUUUAAAAAAAAUAUUUUCAGAAACUGAAUUAAUUUUCGUCCAUUUGUUAUACCGUUAGUAAAACAUUAAAUUUCAUCUGAUGAAAACGACAUUAAAUAUUUAUAUAUCUAUAAAUGGGAAAAUGCAAAACGAUAAGAUAUUUAAAUUGAUAGAUGGUGCUUUGUUCGUCAACUUUAUGAACCAAUUGGCUAAAUCGGUUUUAAUAUUAUAUAUAUAUAUAUAUAGUAGCAGUUUUUAUUGCCGACUGCUUAAACGUGUUUUUGUCUGGGUCUGGAACAAAAGGUCCCCAUUCUUUGGGGAUGAUGCCUCUGCUAGUGCUGCCAAUUGAUAUGAUUAUUAGCUAGUGAUUACUAAAUAAUAUGAAGGCCCGAUCAUGUAAUUUUGACCUUCAUUUGCUUAAACAACAAUCAAAUAACGACGUUAUUUAAAACCCUUUUUUUGGCACCUCUUUAGAAUCUCUAAGCAUAAUGAUAUCCUUUAUGAGACACUGUUCAUCACUCAUCACUCAAACAGUAGGUACAAUGAUCAAUUUUAGAAUAAUUUAAAAAAUACUGGGUGUUUUUUAUGGACCACUUACCACUUCUACUGGAGUGAUCUUCAGAUUAUAUGAAAGUGGAAUUACAGAUUUCUUUAAAAAAAAAAACUGGAAUUCGGAUGAGUAAUUAAUACAAAUGCAUAUCUAGUAUGAAUACAUUAUUUUUUUACAAGAAAAUUCAAUCUAUUUGAAGUAUCAUCUUCCUAAAUAUGUGUAUACAUAAAUGUCAAAUUAGCUUCUGUACAUAGUUGUUGCUUGUACGUAGCUAAGUUGUAGUUAUUGGAUGGAUGGUAUAUAUCUGCAAGCUCCACUACGAAUGGCAGUGUCUAAUGAUUUAGAAAAGAAGAGAAAGAAAAGGUAUAAGUUAAGAAGGGAGAUAAGGGUAUUGCAUCAGCUGAAGGUGAGUGGUGAUGGUGGUGGUGGGUCUUUGGUUUGGUUGAUAAAAAUCCGAUUGCUAUUCUAUUCAAUCUACAGCUUGCACGUAAUGUCAUGGAAUCUAAUUUCAAAGAAUUAGGCCACCUUACACCAUUAAUUCGCAUUUGCUAUUCACCAUCACAUUUUCACCGUGAAAAACGUAAUAUAUAUAUAUUUAAAAAUAAAUUUAUAUUUUUUAUCGUAUUAAAUGGCAUAAUGCUAAUUUUAAUCUUCAAUGUUUAUAUUUUAAUCAAUUUGAUUUUUAUUCUUUUUUUAGUAAAUUAAGCCACUAGCUUUUUAAAAAAUGUCUAGUUGUUUUCUUUAAUAGAAAUACUAGCCAAAACAUUAAAUUUUUAAUAAAGUUUACAUGGCAACCCACGUGCAUUUCAUUUAUCUUAUAUGUCAUUUCAACAAAUAAUUUUAAAAUAAAAGUAAAUUAAAAUCAUAAAAGAAUCAUAAAAAAGUUCAUAAAAAAUCAAAAAUAUUAGCAUAAAGUACACGUAGAUUGCCGUGCAAAAUAUUUCCAUUAACAAAACAUUAAUUUAGACUUUUUUCGAUUAAAUUUGACUCUUUUAUAAAGAUUAAAAGCCAAAUUUAACUUUUUUAAAAAAAUAAAAGUUAACUUAUAAAAUAUAUAAACGAUAAGAACUAAAUUCGACAUUAUGCCUAAUGUUUUAAGAUUUGUUGAUGCACACAUUCCCAUUUUAUUUGUGGGUAUUUAUUUUUAGUUGGCAUUUUUAAUGUGAUUUUAUCAAUUUUUUUUGUGGUGCAAAGUAAAAUGAAAUAUUAUUAACAACAAUAAAACCGAUUUAUUGAGAUUAUUUUGGUAUGCUUCCAUCUAUCAAAUAUUAUUCGAUAAUUGAUAUGAGUUGUAUUUCAGAAAUUGAGAUUAAUGGUGAAAAUCAGGUUUCAUCCUUCUAAUUAAACUAAUUCUAUUGAAGUUGCAUUAAUCACAAGAUAAUGGCUGAAUUUGUGAAGAUUUAUUAUCAAUACUCUUUCUCCUUAUCUUAAACGUCUAAUCUAAGUGGAUUGGAAUAUAUUGAACUAGUGACUAAUUGGAUUUGAGUAUAAUAUUUUAACUUUUAAGGGAAGAUGAGAAUUGGAGUCUUUAAUUCAAUUUUAAAAAAUAUUUUUAUAUAAAUGAUAAAAAUUAUAUUAUAAAAAUAAUAUAUGAAUUUUAUAAAGUUAUAACAAAAAAUUAUAUUAUUUAAAUCCUAAAAAAAAUUCUAAUGUCAAAAAUUACAUUUUAUAAAAGUGUUAUAAUAUAUUUAUUUAUAAAAAUUUAUGGCAAAAAAGUAUGGGCAUAACUUCUUAUUUAUGUGUUCAUGCUAUAUAUUAUAAAAUUAAUAUAUUUAUUCAUAAAAAAUGUUAUAAUUUUUAUCCUAACUUUUUUUAUAAAAAUAACUUUAAAAAAUUUUGGCAAAGAAAUUACAUUAUUUAUGAAAAGUGUUAUGAAAGUUAUUGGACAAUUUAUAAAUGUUAUAUAUUAUAAAUUUUAUAUUAUUUUUUACUUGAUUUGCGUAUUAACUUAAUAUAAGUCUUUCUCCAAAUUAAGUUUAUAUAAACAUUUAAAAUUUAAGCUACAAACUAUUUGAAUCGUGAACCCAAAUAUUAUAAGAUCGAUGCUAAUUAUACAAAUAUAUAAAGUUUUCUUAUACCAUAUCAUAGGGUAUGAUACACUACAACCAUUGACAUUUUUAGUGGCAAUAUAGUUGUGACAAUAAAAAUUUCACCACAAAUAGUUAAGUAUUUGUGUGCAGGUGACACCAAUAAAAUAAGUAAAUGUGAUUUACUAAUAUUUUGUCACUAUUAUGACAGUAGUUAUGACAAUUUAAAUUACUAUAAGUGUAUAAUUGUUACCAAAUCUAUUGCUGUUUAAAUGUUAAAAAUUGUCGCUAAGUUCUUUUUUCCCGAGAAAUGAUAUGAUAGAGACAAUAUAUCUAGUAGUCACUCCCGUUAAUCAUUUUUGUGACGAUAAUUUUUUUGUCACUAUAAAAUUUACUUUUUGCAAUGAUGUAAUUGUGACAAUUUAAAUUACAUCACAAGUAAAUAGUCACUUUAAGUGUAUAACAGUUACUGAAUCCAUUAGCCACUACUAAUUAAUCACUAAUAAAAUGCUAAAAUUUGAUGUCAGGAAACAAUGUAAUAGUCACAACAUAUCUAGUAGUCAUUAUUAUUAAUCAUUACUGUGACUAUAAAUUUUUUUGUCUAUAAAUUUUAACUUUUUUUAAUGAUAUAAUUGUGACAGUUUAAACCACAUCUCAAGUAAAUUGAUACUAUUAAUGUAUAAUUAUGACAUUAAAAAUGUUUGUGGAUUUGUUUCUUAAAAAACACAUAUUUGAACUCAUCAUAAUAAAAUAAUUUUUUUUUCUGGAAUAGUGUUUUUAAUAAAAAAAAAUAGUGUCAACAUUGUAAUUGAAAUAGUUAGCAAUAUAGAGACCAAAAUUGAAAUUUGACCGUUGUCUUAUAAUGUCAAAAAAGGCAAGACAAACUCAAAAUAUGUGUUAGUGUCUAGGACCCUUAAGGCAUUUAAAUUAUAUAUAAUCAAUCACGUAACAUUUUAAUCGAAAUGUUAACAAUAUUAAUUAUUUGAACUAAAUAAUAACAUUAUAUAAAUAUAGAGACCAAAUUAUAAAAGAAAUUAAAGUAUAAAGAUUAAAUCUCAGAUUUAAACAUAUAAUAGAGGGACUAAAACUAAAAUUUAACAUUUUCCUAUAAUGGAGAGAGAGAGAGAGAGAGAGAGAGAGAGAGAGAAUCAUAUACAUGUUAACAGAAGGAAUGCCUGAUGGCCUUCAUUUUAUAUAUACUAGUACGGUUCCACCCACAGUUCGGAUUGAGUUAAUUUUUUGAGGCUAAAUUAUAAAUGGUGACACCAUUUUUUUGUGAAAACAGGAUCGACUUAGAUUUUGAAAAUGAAAACGAAAAUGGGAGUCGUCACCAAUCCUUCUUGAUAAGGUGUGAUCGAGUCACCUUAAAAGGUCGUUGUUUUUAAUAAACAAUUUGAUUUUAUUAAAAUAACGAUUUUGGUCCACGAAAUUCUGAAAAACGGGUUCGGGAGUCGGUUAUGUACGAGGAAGAAUUAGCACCCUCGUAACGCCCAAAAUUGAUACCUAGUUGAUUAAAUGAUGUCUUAGUGUCGAAGAUUUAAAACUUUAAAGAGAUUUAAAAUAUGAUCUUUUAUUGAAAUGCUAAAAAAUUUCGAGAAAAAAUGCAUAUUUCACGUUAAUCGAGAAAGAAAAUUAUAUCUCGUAAGUUAGGCCACAAUGUCUUAAACCCUGAUACGAGAAUGAAUGCUGAAAAAUUUACUUAUUUGGAAGAUAUUUGAUUAUCUCGGGUCUAGGAAAGAGAUCAUGCCCCGUGAGUUAGAAUACGAUCUUUUGUUAAUUCCCGAGAACAUUUAAAACUUUGUUUGAAAUGAUUCUUGUAUUUGGAUUUAUCGAGAAAACUAAAACCCCGUAAGUUAGGGUACAAUUUUUUCGAAUCUCAAAAUACAAAAUUUUAUUUAUUUAAAACAAAUAUAGAUAUAUUGAGUAAAAUGAAACACGGCGUCGUAAUAAAAAUGCGAAAACAAAUUACAUUGUGAUUAUGCAUAACAAAACAAUAAUGAAUACGAUGGUAUAAAAAUAAUACGAGCGAUAGUAACGAAAAUAAGAUAAAUAAAGGGACAAAUCAAUAGCAUACAAAAUAAAAAAUAAAAUGAAACAUUCUUUUAAAAUAAUAAUGAAAGCGUAAAUAAAUAAAUAAAUAAAAUGAAUAAAAUUAUAAAAAAUAUAUAAAAAGAUAUAUAAGUAUGUAUAUGUAUAUAUGUAUAUUAAAAUUAUAAAGUAUAAAAAAAUAUAAGUAAUUAUACAAUAAUAAUAAUAUAAUGAGACACAUAUUUAGAUUUACAUAAGUAAAUCUAAAUGGAAAUGUAAUGAUAAUAACAGUAAUAUUAAUAAUAAUACUAAUAAUAAUGAUAAUAAUAGUAAUAAUAAUAACCUAAUUAGUUUAAUAAUAAUAAAAUAACAAUAGAAAAUUAUUAAAUUAAAAACAAAUAGAAAUUUAGGGACGAAAUUGAAAAUGGAAACAAAGCAAAGGAUUAAAUUGUAACGCGCGUGAAAGGAGGGGGACCAAAUGAGAAAUUAUUCCUAAUUUCAAAACGACACCGUUCUAGGUGUUUUUCUUUUAAAACGGUCUAAGGACCAAAUUAAAAAAAAUAAAACUUUGUGGCAAAAAUUAAAAAAGAAAAUAGGACACAAUUGUAACCAGCCUCAAAAGCGGAAGGAUUAGGGACACAAAUAGCCCCUUUUUGUCCAAAAACAAGCAGAUCCUAGGCGGUUCGGGUCGGGUCAGAUGGCUCAAAACGACGUCGUUUUGGGGCUUAAGGACACCGACCAAAACGACGUCGUUUUGUUCGGCUAUUUAAGCCAAAAAAUUUCCAAUAAAUUCAUUUAUUUCCUUCCUCCAAAAAAAACAACAACAAAAAACCUCUCAAGCCCUCUCUCUCCCUCCGGGCACUGGCCCAAAAUCCGACCAUCGACCGUCGCGCCGGCCGCCGAUCAUCAGCGCCACCGCCGCAUACGACAGCCAAGAAGCUGAAAAGCUUCCCUUUUUUUCCGAAUCGCCCUUCAACUACUCCGAGUAUCCCGGCGUCGUCAAAUAGGUAAAAAAACUCUCCUUUUUAUUACUCGUUUAUACACGUACGAAAAAAAUCAAAAAGAUAAAAGAAAAUAGAUCUAUAUUUGAAAAGAAACGAAGAAAUCACCUUGAGUCUAUUUCUUUUUUUUUGCCUUAUUAUUUCUAAAAAUGUUCGUAAAAAAAGGGGGAAAUUACAGAAAGGUUCAGUUUUUAUAACCGAUUCCCCUUUUUUCUGUUGUUGUCUCUUUUAUUGUUUUGCAGUCACUCGAUGGAGCAUGUGGGUAAGUGGCGGUGGUGGGUUAGUGGCAGAGGUGAUAUGACAAGGGCAAUGGCAGUAGUUAGAAGACCUAGGUGCGGCGCACCUAGGGUUUUUUUUGCUAAUUGGUCUUUGGGUUAGUUUAGGUCGUUGGAUCAGGGUGUUUGGGCUUGUAAUUGGGUCUUUUGGGUAUUAGGUUUUGGGUAGGUUUAGGUGGGUUUUGUUUGUAAUGGGCCCGGGCAUAAAAUUGGGCUUGUACAGUUGCCCCUCUUUGCUCGUUGUCGUGUAACGAGAAUAAGGCAAAGACUAAGAAAGACCAAUUUUUUCGGUCUCGCCGAGCCUUGACUUAUUUGGUGCUUCUCUUUUUUAAGUAGCCUCCUUUCAGUCCACUGUGUCUUGUUGCUUCGAUCCAUUCCACUGCACUUCAGAGAGAUCUGAUUUGUAGCUUCAAUCUUCUUCGUAACAACUUUAGGGGGACGAGAUUCGUGGUUUUAGUCUGCUCCACUGCAACGUCAGGGAGAUAAGACUUGAUAUGAUAUGAUCCGCCAUCUACAGUUUGCUCCACUAUAACUUUAGAGAAAUAAGACUCGUUAUGGUAAACUUAAUCCGACCUACUGCAAUUUUAGAGGUAUAGGAUUUCAUCAUUUUAAUCCGCUCAACUGCAACUUCAGGGAGACAGGAUUAAUAGCUUCAGUCUGCUCCACUGCAACUUCAGGGAGAUAUGACUCGUUGGCUUUAAUAUGCUCUGCUGCAACUUCAGAGAGAUGAGAUUUUCCAUCUUCAACCUGCUCCACUGCAACUUCAGGGGGAUAAGACUUACUUUCUUCAACUUUAACGCCAAAGAGAUAAGAUUCGCUGCCUUCAGCUUUAAUCUGCUCCGCUGCUAAGGAGAUAGGAUUCGCUGCCUUCAGCUUUAAUCCGUUCCACUUCAACUUUAAUCUAUUCCACUACAAUGCCAAGGAAAUAAGAUUCACUGUCUUUGAUCUGCUCCACUACUGCUUAGAGAAACAGGAUCUACAAUCUUCAUCCUACUCCACUGUUGCUCAGGGAGAUAGGACUGGGGGCUUAAAUCUACUUCCUUACUACCUUGGGAAGAUAAGAUUCACCAUCUUUAAUCUACUCCACUACUACUUAAGGAGACAGGAUCUACAAUCUUCAACCUCCUUCACUACUGCUUAGGGAAAUAAGGCUGAUAUUUUUGAUCUACUCCGCUGCUACUACAGGAAGACAAGAUCUGCUACUUUCUUCGAUCUACUUUGCUGCCAAUACAGGAAAAUGAGACCUGCUAUCUUCAACCUACUCCACUGCUGCUCAGGAAGAUAAGGUUUGUGUUUUCGAUCUACUUCGCUGCAAAUACUAGAAGACAAGAUUUGCUAUCUUCCACCUACUCCACUAAGGCUGGUUUCUUCAAUCUACUUCACUGCCAAUACAGGAAGACAAGAUCUGCUAUCUUCGAUCUACUUCGUUUCCAAUACAGGAAGACAAGAUCUCCUAUCUUCAACCUACUCCACUGCUGCUUAGGAAGAUAAGGUUUGUGUUUUCGAUCUACUUCACUACCAAUACAGGAAGACAAGAUCUACAAUCUUCUUCAAUCAAUUUUACUACAACUACAGUAGUAUAGGGUUUGUGGUUUCACCGAUCUGUUCUGGGGAACAUAACCUGUAGAAUCUAUUUCAUGGGCCUAUUUAUGCCUAAUGAUUAGGAUGUUAUGAUCAGAAUGAAUCAAAAUCUCCUCACUACAUGUAUAUGCAUGCAUGCAAAAUGCCAUGAGAAUUAUCCUUUAACGUCAUUAUUCAAUGUUCAUUAAGAAUUCAUCAGUGAUGUAUCAUAGAGUCUUCUUGCUUGAGGGGUGCCUUUGACGAAAACCAAAAAAACACUCAGCCAGUAGCCUCGAGGUUCAACUGUUCUUCUGAGACCUGAGUUUUGGGUUAUCUUUUCCUUCUUUGUAUUGGCCGUUUACGCCAUUCUUUGGGUGUCGCGACCACAUGCUCAUGCAAGAGUAUGGAAAGUUUUCCAAGAAACCUCUUCUUAUUUCCUGGCAAGCGAAGCUUUAUCGCUGGCAUGAUAAUCAAUGUUUCUGGCCACAAAAUCUAAAGAUAUAGUCUUAAUUUUUUAGACCGUCUCCACUUAGACGUUUCAGCCAUUAAACCUGGUGCAUUCUAAAUAAUAGUCUAGUUUUAGGUUCCUGUAUUAUUUAAAAACUUCCACAGUAAUAUACAAAACUUAUUUUGCUUGAAUAUUAUCAGUCUAUUAAUCAUUAUUUCAGCAUAAGAUGUUUGAAAAAGAUUAGUACAAUGGGCGAGAUGAAAUUUUAUUGAGAUCAAAGCUCAAAAUGAAUAAAUUGAUCAAGAUAGCAAAUUUUGCUAAGAUACAAAAUGAAUAAGAUGAAAACAGGUACCUCAGAUAUCGCAGUAUGAGCUUCUCUGUACAAAAUUUUUGAAGACCAUUCUAAAUUUGAUAUGUGUUUAAGGGGUCUGCAAUACUUUGUCGAUGCCCCAAAACGUUACCUAUAUUUUCUUGUUAAUUCAGGUACAACAAAAUCAACAUAUGGCCCAAUUUGAUCAACAUUUAGGCUACUCUGAUCACCUCGUGCCCCAUUCUGAUCUGCAUUUGAGUCGCCCUUUUCGAGUUUUCAACUCAAAUCCCUUUUUGGUCUCAAGGUGCCCUUUGCGGGUUUUCACCUUAGCCUCUCCUCCAUUUUUUUAGGAACAAAAGCGCCUUUUGUGGGUUUUCACUUUGGUCCAUUUCUUUCUUUAGGUGAAGUAUUUCUUAACUGAGUCUGAGUUUACAGGGUUUGGCAGGCUUUUACCAUCCAUCUCACUCAAGAUCAAAGCUCCUCCAAAAAAGGUCUUCUUUAUAACAUAAGGUCCUUCCCAAUUUGGCAUCCAUUUCCCUUUAAAAUCCUUUUGUAGAGGAAGAAUUUGUUUCAACACAGGUCCCAUUCAUGAAAUUCCCUUGGACGAACCUUUUUGUUAUAGGCUCGCAUCAUUCGUUUCUGAUAUAUCUGACUGUGACGAAUACUUUUAGCCUCUUUUCUUCUAUUAGGUUCAGCUGAUCAUAUCGAGAUUGAAUCCAUUUGGCCUCAUCUAACUUUAAUUCGGCUAAUACUCGAAGAGAAGGGAUUUCAACCUCAAGGGGUAAAACUGCCUCCAUCCCAUAAACUAGAUAAAAAUGUGUCGUCCCAGUAAAAGUCCUAAUAGAUGUCCGAUAUGCAAGGAGAGCGAAAUGUAAUUUCUCAUACUAGUCAUUGUAGGUUUCAGUCAUUUUCCCUACAGUUUUCUUGAUAUUUUUGUUAGCUUCUUUCACGACACCAUUCAUUUUCGGGUGAUACGAUGAUGAAUUAUGGUGUCUGACCUUGAACUGACUACAAACAUCCACUAUUAAGUUGUGUCUCAAAUUCAGCGCAUUGUCAGAUAUAAUUCUUUCAGGCGUCCCAUAUCAACAUAUAAUUUUCUUUUUCAAAAACUUGCUAACUGCUGACUUUUUGACAUUGGCAUAUGAAGCGGCUUCCACCCACUUAGUGAAAUAGUCAAUAACCACAAAGAUAAAACGAUGCCCAUUAGAAGCCUUCGGCGAUAUUGGCCCGAUGACAUCCAUCCUCCACAUGGAGAAAGGCCAUUGAGAAGUCAUAACAUGAAGAAGAGAAGGAGCUGUGUGUAUUUUGUUGCCAAAAAUUUAGCAUUUAUGACAUUUCUUGACAUAAUUAAUGCAAUCUCCUUCCAUGGUGGGCCAAUAAUACACGAAUCUCAUAAUCUGUCUGGCCAUUGUGAAGCUGUUGGCAUGCGUUCUGCAAAUACCUUCAUGGACUUCUUUUAAUAUUUUCUUGGCCUCCACAGCAUCCAAACAUCUCAAUAAUACUUGAUAUGUUCCUCUUUUAUACAAAAUCUCUCCAUCUAAGACAUAAUCAAUGGUCAUUCUCCUCAACGUCCUCUUAUCAUUCUCCGUUACAUGGUCAGGGUAUUCACUAUUCUUUACAUAUCGCAGUAUGUCUUAGUACCAUGUAUGGUCAUCGUUUUCCUCUUCUUCAAUACUAUAGCAAGGAGUUGGGGUCUCAUGAAUUCUGAUUUGAAUUGUAUCAUGUCUUCUAGUUUGUUCACUUUGAUCAUACAGGCCAGAGUGGCCAAAGCAUUAGCCAUCUGAUUUUCAUCUCGUGGGAGAUAACAAAAAGUGAUACUGUCAAACUCUUUGAUCAAUUCCAGAACAAAUUUCUGAUAGCGGAUUAAAUUUGGGUCUCGUUUCCCAUUCCCCUUUGAGUUGGUAUAUUACAAAUGUAGAGUCUCUGUGUACCUCUAGUAUCUGAAUUUUUUGCUCUAUGGCUGCUCGGAUGCCCAUAAUGCAAGCUUCAUAUUCAGUCAUAUUCUUAGUGCAAUCAAAAUCCAAUUUACUGGUAAAAAGAUAAUGAUCUCCAUUAGGGGACACAAAGACUGCCCUAAUUCCGUUACCUACAGCAUUCGAAGCUCCGUUAAAGUUUAGCUUUCAAUGAUGAUUUUCCUGAGAAUCAUCUUCAGUAAUUUCCACAUACAUCAAGUUUUCAUUCGGGAAAUCAAAAUUCAGAAGUUCAUAGUCUUCUAAAGCUCUGCUGGCCAAAAAUUCUGCUAUUGCGUUCCCUUUGACAGCCUUCUGAUUUACGUAGACUAUAUCAAACUCGGAGGAAUCUGCCACCUAGUCAUCCUCCCAUUCAAUGCAGUUGACUCUAUCAUAUAUUUUAGAGGGUCCAACUUUGAAAUUAACCAAGUCGUAUGAUAGAGCAUGUAUUGUCUCAAUCUCUGUGCCGUCCAGACCAGGGCAUAACAUAAAUUUUCAAUAGGCGAGCAUCUCAUUUCACAGUCAGUAAAUUUCUUACUGAGAUAGUAUAUCAUUUUUUCCUUCCUCUCGGUUUCGUCAUACUGACCUAGCACACAUCCUAUGGAGUGGUCAAACACUGUUAAAUACAGGAUUAGUGGUUUAUCUAAACUAGGUGGUGCCAAAACUAGAGCAUUGGACAAGUACUGUAUUAUCUUGUCAAAAGCCUCUUAGCAUUUUUCAUUCCACACAUCUGGAUUAUGUUUCUUUAGAAGACGAAAUAUAGGGUCACAUUUUUCGGUCAGUUACGAAAUGAACCGAGCAAUAUAAUUCAGUCUUCCUAAAAAACCUCGAACUUCUUUUUGAGUACGUGGUGGAGGUAAAUCUCGAAUUGCCUUGACUUUGUCCGGGUCGAUUUUGAUUCCUUUUUUACUAACCACAAACCCAGAAGCUUCCCUCACCUAGCUCCAAAGAUACAUUUGGCUGGAUUGAGUUUGAGUUGGAACUUUCUUAAUCUUAAGAACAACUUCCUUAAGAUUUGCACAUGUUCUUUUUCCAUCUAAGAUUUUGCAAUCAUAUCGUCAGCGUAUACUUCAAUUUUCUGAUGUAUCAGAUCGUGGAAGAGGGUCACCAUGGCUAUCUAGUAUGUGGCUCCAGCAUUUUUCAACCCGAAUGGCAUCACUUUAUAACAGAAUGUCCCCCAUAGGGUUAUAAAUGUGGUUUUCUUCAUAUAUUCAGGAUGCAUCUUAAUUUGGUUAUAUCCCGAGAAACCAUCCAUGAAGGAGAAUAGCAAGUGUCCUACCAUGUUAUCCACCAAGGUGUCGAUGUGAGGUAAGGGAAAAUUAUCUUUCGGGCUAGCCUUAUUCAAGUCUCUGUAAUCUACACACAUACGUACCUUCCCAUCUUUCUUAGGGCCGGGUACAAUAUUGGCCACCCAUUCUGAGUACUUGACCACCUGUAGGAACCUAGCAUCAAAUUACUUUUGAACUUCCUAUUUUAUUUUUAGUACCACAUCAGGCCUUAUCCUCCGGAGCUUUUGCUGGACUAGCUUGUAAUCUUCUUUUAUAGGAAGACUGUGCACUACAAUGUUGGUAUUUAAUCCAGGCAUAUCCUGGUAUGACCAUGCAAAGACGUCUUUGAACUCUCGAAGCAACUCAAUGAAGUCUUGUUUUGCCUCUUCAGUUAUGCAUGUUCCGAUUUUCACCACCUUUCCCUCCUCUAAAGUUACAGUCUCCACCGUCUCCUUAUGAGGUAGGAUUUGUUUCUCCUUCUGCUCUACCACCCUCAACAAGUCCGAAGAUAAGUUACAAUAUAUGUCAUCUUCAAUGUCAUGAGAUUCCUCUGAACACAUAUCCCGUUCAAAAAGAUUUUCCGAGUCCAUAGUAGAGUCAUUCAUGUCAUUAAUAUCUGGGAACCUGUUGUACGUACCAAAUAAUAUACAAAGAAUGUUAGAAUUUAAGAAUACUUAUUUGUAUGAUAUAAUUAUGACUUAAGGAAUGAAUGGUUUGGGAAGGAAAUCCAUGAAGAUAAAAGAAUCCAAAAAUGAUCAUUUGUACGAAAGAAUGAAAUAAUCCUAAAAGAAUAUAUGCUCAAAAAUAAUUGCAAAGAUAUAUUUCAUUAAAAUCACGAUGUUCAGAUAUAUGCCUAUUCCACAAAAGUUUUCAUUGUCUCUAGGCUUAAAACAUUAAGUAUGUUUUGAAUAUUACUCUAAGAAAGCUCUAAAAACUUCAGGUAUUUCUUCUACAGUCCAAUUAUUUAGAAUACUCCCAGGUUCAUAGGGAAGUACAUCUAACAUAUUCCCUUCUUCAUUCGCCUCUUCAUAUAUGGCAUUGACGCCUUCCUCCCUCGACACACUUCUCUCGAGGUGAAUGAUUCCCCCUGAUACAAAGGUUUCGGAUAUGUGGCAAAUUAUCAUGGGUUCCUAUUCAAUUUCAUCCCCACUUAGGCGUGCCCUUCUUCUUCCUUAUUUUUUUUUCUUCCUCCUUCAUUCUUUGUUUUAUGUCUGGCUUAUAUCCUAAGCCAAAACGAUCCCGUUUUUCUUUCGGCACUAGAACUUUAAUUCUUCCUUGGAGGUACCUCCCUAAUCCUCUUCUGGGUAAGGUCCCUUUUCCUACCAUCAACUGUAACCCCAUCUUCGUUGUCCUAGAUAUUUUUGGCAUUGGAAUUUUGCUUCCCUCAAAAAUAAAAGUUGUGUUCACAAACUCCAAAGAUCGAAAGGAGCAUUCAACUGUUUCAUUAUUAGUUUCCACGUAAGGCACCUCAUUAGCUACAGCCAUUAUGAUAUCUUCCUCGGUAUUUAUUAUCACUAACCGACCCUCCGAUACCAACUUCAGCUUCUGGUGUAAUGAUGAUGGUACUGCCCCAGCCGAAUGUAUCCAUGGCCUCCCUAAUAAGCAGAUAUAGAUAGACUUAAUAUAUGUUACAAGAAAAUCCACCCCGUAGACAGUUCGACCAAUCAGUAAGGGUAUCUCGAUUCUUCCCAUGAGCUUUCUCUCUGUGCCAUCGAAUGCCCUAACUAUAUUUUGGCAUAUCUUCAUAUGUGAACUAUCCACAGGCAGCCUGUUGAGCAUAGAUAAGGGCAAUAUAUUCAAUACUGAUACGUUAUCUAUCAGAACUCCUGGCAAGGUAUACCCCUUGCAUCGAGUGGUAAUAUGCAAAGCAUUGGUUACUCCCCUGCCUCCAGGUGGUAUCUCGUCACCAUUAAAGAAAAUGAAGUUGUCGGCGCUUAUGUUAUUGACUAGUCGGUCUAAUUUGUUGACAAAGAUGUCAUUGGCCACAUAGGUCUCAUUCAGCACUUUCGUCAACGCCCUCCGAUGUACUUUAGAACUUAAGAGCAAGGUUAACAUGGAUAUGCGGGCUGGUUGUUUGUGCAAUUACUCCACAACACUAUAUUCGCUGUGUUUCAGGAAUUUGAGGAACUCCUUGGCUUCUUCCUCUUUCACUGGCUCAGUAAUAGGUAACACAAGCUCGGUUUUUUUUCCUUCUUUUGUUCCGUUACUAUAGUCUUUCCCUUUACCGGCUCGGCUAGAUGACUUAUCAAGUAGUAGCGCUUUCCACUACGUGUAUAAGAACCCAUGCCCUGAUCCUCUUUCACAGUACUGGCUGAAAUUUCCUUUCCUUAGGCAGUUGUGUUGCACUCAUGGCUCCACGGGACUUUCUUGUUAUCUUUGUAAGGGAAGGCUGCGGGCUUCUUAAUUAUUAUUUUUGGCAUUACUGUUACUCUCACCUCGUUCUUCCUUUGUUGCGAGAUAAUGACUACAGGAUGGCUUAUUUUCAGAACCCUUGCCGUUGGUUCCGACAAGCAUAUGCUUCCUCCUUCCUCGACUUCUUCAUAGAACUCCACUUCCUUAUCGUCCAUCAUGCUUUGAACUAAGGCUCUAAAUUCUAUGCACUCUUGGAUCUCAUGCCCUUCUUCGUGAUGGAACUCACAACAAUUUCUUGUCUCUCGACAUCUGCCUUCUAAAUUCGAACUGAUUAACCCCAUUUCUAUCAUUUUCUUCCAGACCCAUUUCAAAGGGGUUCUUACUUCAACAAUAUCUGUCUUGAUUUUCCUCCCAAUGUUCUCAUUUAUCAUGUUUAUCCCCUUAUCAGCAUGGUUAGGUAAUGGACUUUCCAUACUGGGUGAAUCAUCGAGCUUGACAUCGCUCAUACUGAUCAGUCUUUCGACCAGCUUCUUGAAGGAUGUGCAAUUUUCUAUUGAAUGCCUCGUAAUUCCCGCAUGAUAGUCGCAUUGUGCAUUAGCGUCAUACCAUUUGGGGUACGGAGGUUGUAAGGGCUUUAAGUAGAAAGGGGAUACAAUAUGUGCAUCAAAUAAGCUUUUAUACAACUCCCUGUAUGGUACCGAAAUUGGCGUGUACUGAGGCUUUUCUGUGUUCUGUCGUGUGUCGGAUUCCUGUCUUGAUGAACCUUGUUUAUUAGUAGCCACUUUUCCUAGUUAGUUCACUGUGAUCGAUUUCAAGUAACCCUUGUUAUAGGUCUUCAUGUUGUUUACCUCAUUCUCAUUUUUCUUUAGAGUCAUCAUUCGGUUACCUUCUUUAGCAUCGAUCAUCCCACUCCUUAUGGCAUUUUCAAUAUUUUCUCCAUUCAUGACUAUGUCAGAGAAGCUUUUCGUGGCACUUCCUAACAUAUGAGUAAUAAAUGGUGCCUUCAGUGUGUUAAUGAAGAGUAUUGUCAUCUCUCUUUCUAAAAGCGAUGGAUGGACCUGAACAGUAACUUCCCUCAAUCAUUGCGUGUAUUGCCUAAAACUUUUGUUAGGCUUUUUCUCCAUAUUUUGCAGGGUAAUUCUAUCAGGGACCAUAUCAGCUACAUGACUGUAUAGCUUCAUAAAUACUUGUGCUAAGUCUCUCCAUGAACUAAUCUUGGUACGACUUAAUUGAUUGUACCACUUAGAUGCUGCCCCUAUGAGGCUAUCUUGAAAGCAAUGUAUAACCAGUUGGUCGUUGUUAAUGUAUCCAGUCAUACGCCUACAAAACAUGGUAAUAUGAGCUUCUGGGAAACUGGUCCCAUUAUAUUUCUCAAAUUCCGGUAUUUUGAACUUUUGGAGAAGUAACAAAUCUGGGACCAGACUUAAGUCUUUAGCAUCAAUCCCCUGAUAAUUCUCAAUACUUUCUAUUUCCCUAAAUUUUUCUUCGAGCCAUUUACAUCUUUCCUCCAACUGUUUUGGCAAUUCUUCUUUUGUUUUCUCUUUCUCAGCCACUUCGUCGAAAUUAGGGAUGAUGGGAUUGGUAGGGUUUUCUUCGGGGUUAGAACCUAAUCCAGUUUUAAAGUUCAUUGGCAUUGAGGUGCCAGCCUGAAACUGUUGAGGCCUGAUUGUAACAGAAGACCUGCGUAGGUGUACAUCAACUUGGGGUUGUACAUGCGAAUGAGUAAAGCCCGGAGGGUAGAGGGGUCCAUCAUUAUCUUCUUCUUCAACAUUAACCAUAGGGUCAUUUCCUUUGUCAUUUCCCUCAGCUAAUAGUUGUGUUAGCUGAGUCAUCAUGCUCUUUUUGGACUCCAGCAUGUCUUGCUAAAUUUUUUCUAACCGAUCCUGCAUUUGGUCUUGCAUCUCUUUUUAGAGCUGUUCGAGCCUUUCCAAUAUUUGAUCCCUGUUUUUCGACUUUGUCCGAGUACCAUAAGGGUGUUGGUUUUCCAGAUUAACUGAAAUAAUUUUUUUAAUUAGGUUCUUUUAAUAAUCGUUAAUGCAUAUGAUGCGAUGAAAUGCAUGAAAUGAAUGCAAAAAAGCGUCAAUUUUAAUUCAAUUUCAUUUUGAAAACUUUACUAGAAAACAAAGUUCUUUACAUAAGAUGGAUUACAGAUAAGGCCUAGCUCUAAUGCUCAGGACUCUAAUCUUCCUAAGUAACGAGGCUAACUCUUGUCCCCGAUUUGGUUCUAACUCAUACUUUACGCUCAGUGUAUCGGCUUGCACUGCCAAAGUCUGCAGGUGAUCAGCCACCUCUCGGAUCUGAACCAUGGCUUCUCCCAUAAUAUGAUCUCUAUUUCUGACUUGGUUCUGCAAGUGGUGCAGCUGUUCAUUCUGACGAUCUUCAUUAGCUUUUAGGUACUAGAUCCAGAUAUCACAAUUUUGCAGUGUUGUUUCUAACUCUUCUAUCCUUUCUUUCAUUUCUUCGAUCUUGCUCAAGCUUGCUUUCAAUUCCAUCAUAGAAUUCUGAUUUCGAUACCGAUAGAGAGAUCCUUCUUACUCGAUCACUCUAUUCUCUAGUUCACCUUUUUCCUUUUGAUUCUCUGACAAACUCUUCUUUAGAACCUCAUUUUGUGUCUGAACCUCUUGGAACUUCCUUUCCCAGCUAUCAGCCUUGUUCUUUUCUUCUCGAAUCUCUUUACGCCACUAAUCUAAAAUUUUUCCCAACCUGGCAGUUCUUAUCGAUAAGCGAAGCUUCUUGUAAUAUCUCUUCAAGCUAUCUAAAUCUUCUUCGGCCUUAGUUUUUCCUUUCUUUAAUAUUUCUGCCUCGAGUUUCUAAACAUCCGUAUCUAAUCUCAAGUUCAUCUUUUCUUCUUCCAUUUGCUCCAUCUUCUUUUCUAAUUCUGUAUUUCUCCUUUCAAAAUCUUGCUUUAUGAUUUCUAAUUUAGAAGGGACAACUCGUAAAUGUUCCUCCAUCAACUGACUGAUUUCGUCACUUGACUCGGGGAUAUUAUCAUUGAUUCUCUUAACCCACUAGUCAUUAUACUCAGGAAUUGUCAUUGGACCAAUGGGUAAUCUCUUCAUCCGACGAGUCUGGUUCCAUGCAUUGGACAUUUCUUAAAUCUUCUUUUUGUAACCGUCACCUUUGUAUGAGAAUUCACACUUGGCUAGUCCAUGAGUUGCAGGUAUAAAUUGUCUUGACCUAUACUGUCUAAGUACUAGCAACGGGGCAUAGCCAACAGCUCCCCAAAUUCCAAGCAGAGGAACCCAGUCAUAAUCGCCACAUCGAUACAAAAUCUCAUCCGGACGCAACCACGGGGCUCUCCAUUCGACGUCCUCUUCACUAAGAUUCUGAAGAAUUGCCAUCCACUUCUCCUCCAAGAUGUCAUCCCUCAUUGGUGUAGCUACUAUCUCCAGUGGUGAAUAAUUUUCGGAGAAGACCCGAUACGAAACCUUAUCGACCUUUCAGAAGUGAUUAUGGAACCAGGCAAGUAAAAGCUGCGUACAUCCGAUAAAUCUAACUUCAGCCGCUCUCCGGCAGGCAUUUAGUGACCUGAAUGUUUCUGCCAAAAUCGCUGGGAUCGAUGUAACCCCCUAUCGAGCCGAUCAAACAACUAGGCCGUAUAUACUCAAAGCAAAUACAUCUAUCCUCCUCUUCGUAUCUGGGUGUGCUAGAAUUAUAUCCUUCAAAUUCUUCCAAGGAAUGCACUUGUUAUCCCCCUUCUUUUUUAUUCGAGAAGCAACCAACUGCUCACUCAUCCCAGUUAUGUUCAUCAACUUCUUCAAAAAGGGCGGUACAUUUACAGCUCGUGAGUAGAUUCUAUUGACUUGAAUUUUUGAACACCGAAGUAAAGCCAUGUAUUCUUCUAUCGUAGGCACUAAGUCGACCUUCCUAAAUGUGAAACAACUGUAGGCAGGGUUCCAAAACUAUACGAGAGCCUGAAACAAAUGCUUGUCUACCUUCACAUCUAGCAGAUAUGGCAAAUCCCCGUAAUUAGAAUAGAAUAACUAUCUAACCUCAUUGUUCCACUGAUCCCAGAUUUCCUUCAACUCUUGCAAACUGUCUUGAGUUACACUAAUACGAGUAAAGUCCCACAAUUCUGAUACAUAUACUUCGGCCAAACUAUCACAUUUCUCAUGCUGUGUCGUUUCUGACCAAGCUCGGAUGGCCGCAUUAUCUUCCACCUUAUCAAGAAACCUUUUUUCCAUGACAAACUUUCUAUAUAGCAACUGAAUAUGAACUAACGCCUUUUAUGAUGAAAUAUCAUGUAGCUGAAAUGUCAUGCAUUCAAAGUAAAGCAUAGAAAGUCAGUAUCAGGUAUAAACAUACAAUCCAAGACAAUCCAAAACAAUAAAACGCAUAUUCGAGUAUCUAAUAAGGUUAGAGUGUAGUUCUACCUAGGGUGAGUUCCUAAGGUUCACUACAUGCGGUUUGGCUUCUAGGGCAAAGGUACCCGAACCGGCAGAUUCCUCGAUCCUCACCCAUUAUAGGCUCAUAUGGACCAAGUUCAGUUCAGGGUAAUACAUUUCCCUAUGGCUGCACGGAGAUGAAAUUCUCACGAAGACAUAGGUAUGGAUGUAUCCCAAAAGCGAUCCACUAUCUUGCACGGAGGUGAAAACCUCACGAAGGACUAGUUUCUCACUCCCACUUAAAAAGGUAUAAUCGAGCGGUUAUGCAAUGCAAUAUGCAGAGAUUAAAAGACUCGAACCAAUAAAGCAAACAUAUCAAAAUGAUGCAGACCAUAAAAAUGCAAUAAGAGGGUCGUAAAUUUAAAUCAAAUUUCAACUUUCGACAAAAAGACAGAAAACAAUCAAUUUGUGGCUCGACUCUCAAAACCACUCCCCAGUGGAGUCACCAAGCUGUUGAUACCAUUUUUUUCUGAAAACGGGAUCAUCUUAGAUUUUGAAAAUGAAAACAAAAAUGGGAGUCGCCACCAAUCCUUUUUGAUAAGGUGUGAUCGGGUCACAUUGAAAAGUGGUUGUUUUUAAUAAACAAUUUGAUUUUAUUAAAAUAACGAUUUUGGUCCAUGAAAUUCAGAAAAAUGGGUUCGGGAGUCGGUUACGUACGAGGAAGGAUUAGCACCCUCGUAACGCCUAAAAUUGGUACCUAGUUGAUUAAUUGAUGUCUUAGUGUCAAAGAUUUAAAACUUUAAAUAGAUUUAAAAUACGAUCCUUUAUUGAAAUGCUAAAAAAAUUUGAGAAAAAAGACAUAUUUCACGUUAAUCGAGAAAGAAAAUUAUAUCCUGUAAGUUAGGACACAAUGUCUUAAACCCCGAUAUGAGAAUGAAUGCUGAAAAAUUUACUUAUUUGAAAGAUAUUUGAUUAUCUUGGGUUUAGGAAAGAGAUCAUACCCCGUGAGUUAGAAUACGAUCUUUUGUUAAUUCCCGAGAACAUUUAAAACUUUGUUUGAAAUGAUUCGUGUAUUUAGAUUUAUCAAGAAAACCGAAACCCCGUAAGUUAGGGUAUGAUUUUUUCAAAUCUCAAAAUAUGAAAUGCUAUUUAUUUAAAACAAAUAUUGAUAUAUUGAGUAAAAUAAAACACAACGUCGUAAUAAAAAUGCGAAAACAAAUUACAUUGUGAUUAUGCAUAACAAAACAAUAAUAAAUACGAUGGUAUAAAAAUAAUACAAGCGAUAGUAACGAAAAUAAGAUAAAUAAAGGGACAAAUCAAUAGCAUACAAAAUAAAAAAUAAAAAAUAAAAUGAAACAUUCUUUUAAAAUAAUAAUGAAAUCGCAAAAUAAAUAAAUAAAAUGAAUAAAAUUAUAAAAUAUAUAUAUAUAAAGAUAUAUAAGUAUGUAUAUGUAUAUAUGUAUAUAUGUAUAUUAAAAUUAUAAAGUAUAAAAAACAUAUAAGUAAUUAUACAAUAAUAAUAAUAUAAUGAGACACAUAGAUUUAUAUUUACAUAAGUAAAUCUAAAUGGAAAUGUAAUGAUAAUAACAGUAAUAUUAAUAAUAUUAAUAAUAAUAAUAAUAAUAAUAAUAAUAGUAAUAAUAAUAACCUAAUUAGUUUAAUAAUAAUAAAAUAACAAUAGAAAAUGAUUAAAUUAAAAACAAACAGAGAUUUAGGGAUGAAAAUGGAAACAAAGCAAAGGAUUAAAUUGUAACGUGCAUGAAAGGAGGGGGACCAAAUGAGAAAUUAUUCCCAACUUCAAAAUGACACCGUUCCAAGUGUUUUUCUUUUAAAACAGUCUAAGGACCAAAUUAAAAAAAAUAAAACUUUGUGGCAAAAAUAAAAAAAGAAAAUAGGACCCAAUUCUAACCAGCCUUAAAAGCGAAAGGACUAGGGACGCAAAUAGCCCCUUUUUGUCCAAAAACACGCGGAUCCUAGGCAAUUCGGGUCGGGUGGCUCAAAACGACAUCGUUUUGGGACUUAAGGACGCCGACCAAAACGGCGUUGUUUUGUUCGGCUAUUUAAGCCAAAAAAAUUCCAAAAAAUUCAUUUCUUUCCUUCUUCCAAAAAAAACAACAAAAAACCUCUCAAGCCCUCUCUCUCCCUUCGGGCACUGGCCCAAAAUCCGACCAUCGGCCGUCGACCGGCGGCGGCGAAAAGCUGAAAAGCUUCCCUUUUUUCCGUCGAAUCUCCCUCCAACUACUCCGAGUAUCUCGACAUCGUCAAAUAGGUAAAAAAAACUCUCCUUUUUAUUACUCAUUUAUACACGUACGAAAAAAAUCAAAAAGAUAAAAGAAAAUAGAUCUAUAUUCGAAAAGAAACGAAGAAAUCACCUUAUUAUUUCUAAAAAUGUUCGUAAAAAAAGGGGGGAAAUUACAAAAAGGUUCGGUUUUUAUAGCCGAUUCCCCUUUUUCUUUCUGCUGUUGUCUCUUUUAUUGUUUUGCAGGCACUCGAUGGUGCAUGUGGGCAAGUGGUGGUGGUGGGUUGGUGGCAGAGGUGAUGCAACAAGGGCAGUGGCAGUAGUCAAAAGACCUAGGUGCGGCGCACCUAGGGUUUUUUUGCUGAUUGGUCUUUGGGUUAGUUUAGGUCGUUGGGCCAGGGUGUUUAGGCUUGUAAUUGGGUCUUUUGGGUAUUGGGUUUUGGGUAGGUUUUAGGUGGGUUUUGUUUGUAAUGGGCCCGGGCAUAAAAUUGGGCUUGUACAAUAAAGUAAUGAUUUUAAUGUUAUAACAUGCUUUAAAUUCUUGUACUUUUGUAUAUUUGGAAUAUAGUCUUCGUAUUUUUAUUUUUAAGAAUUUAGCUCAUUCACUAUUCAAUUUUAAAAAUUCAGGCCUAAUUAUUAACAUCUUUUCCCACUUUGUUUCAAGUGAACAUAUAAUCGAUUAUACCAAUUAAAUUAAAAAAUCUUUUUUUAAAAAUCAAACAUUUUGUUAAAUCAAAUUAUCAAUAUUGCGCUAAGCAUAGAUUGUUUUAGAUCAAUCUAUAGUUAUGUUUAAAUUUCACAUCAUCAUUUUAAUUGCGAUAGUUACGAAUGUUAAUUAUUUAGACUAAUUAAUAUCAUUGUAAAAGUAGAGGAUCAAAUUAUGUCAAAUUAAAAAUAUGAAAAUCAAAUUCCAAAUGUGAGCAUAGUAGAGUUUGAAACUUCAAUUUUACAAUUAUCUUAUAAUGACUAAAAACUUAGAAAAAGGAGUUGUGUCAUUAGUUGGUCCAAAUAUUUAGUAUCAUUAAUAGUUUCAGUAGAAGACAAGGAUUUAAAAAAAAACACUUAUUUAAACUCAUUAACAAUAUUAAUUAUUUUGACUAACUAAUAACAAUAUAAAUAUAGGGGCCAAAUUAUGUUUGAAAUUAAAAUAUUAAAAUUAAAUUUUAAAUUUAAACAUAAUAGAGGGACCAAAAUGAAAUUUGACUAUUUUCUUAUAAUGUAAAAAAAUAGUGUCGAUAUAUCAAAUUAUAUAAAUUAAAUAUCAAAUUUCAACACAAACCAAAACUAAAAUUAAACCUUAGAAAACUACAUAAUCAAAAUUAAAAUCCAACCAUUAUAAGAGAUAAUGUAAAAGAAAAUGAAAACAUCUAAUGGUAGCCGUGAUUAAAGGUGCUCCUGGGCCGAGCCGAGCCCAACUAAACUUUUAGGCCUGUUUGCUAGGGCCCAAAAAAUGAGCCUAAAAUUUUGCCCAAGCCCGACCUGGACUAAGUUUUGUCUGAUACUUGUAGUUUGGACCAGGUUUUGUUUUUUAGUUCUUGUAUGCUGCUUCUUCAAUUUUGGGUUGUGCCUGGUACUUAUAGGGUCAGUCUUUUGUUUUUCUUUGGUUUCUUAAUAAAAUAUCUCGUCUCUCUUUUAUAAAAAAAAUUACUAAGAUAGAUGCAACUUAACAAACAAAUGCCUCUAAAAUAAUAACAAAAUUAACAACAAAACAAAUGUUAUACAAUAUUCAAACAAUAAUAAAAUAAUAAUAAUAACAUAAUAGUGAAAUUGUAGCAAAAUAAGGAGAAAACAACAAGAAAAUAACAUUAAAACAACAAAAAAUAAUGGAUUUUUUUGUCAUUUUGUAAAUUCGAGCCAAGCCCAGACCAAAAACGCCUUACUUGAUGCCCGACCCGUUUUUUAAAUAGGCUUUUUUUUCCAAGCCCAUUUUUUGAGCCUAUAUUUUUGUCCAAACCCUCUCAAUUUUCGAGCGAGCCCAGCUCGGUCCAUGAGCAGGCCUAAGCGUGAUAUGAGCCAAAACUUGGUCAACUGGCCUUGCAUUUUUAUUGUUUUUGCAUAAUAACUUAUUUGACUUUCAACUUUAUAAAAAAAGUUAUUUUAACUCCUUCAUUUAAUUUUUUUUUAUCUCUUUUAGCUCUUAAACUUCUGUUGGUGUCAAAUCAUCUCAGCAUGGAUGGAAAAGUUAACGUAUGUUAACUUUCCUAACGUGUGGCAUACACGUAGAUUACUACGUCAACAAUUAUUUAAUUUUAAAAAAUUCAUAAUUUUAUAAAAUUAAAAAUUAUUUAAAAAGUAUAAAAAUAUUUUUUAGUAUUAAAAAAUCAAUUAAUUAUUAACGUGGCAUAUAUGUGGAUUGCCAUGUGGCACGUGUAUGCCACAUCAAUAAAGUUAAGAGAUGUUAACUUUUUUACGGCUUUUUUUAUAAAACUAACCCAAAAAAAUUAAUUACAUAAAUAACCUAUUUUUUGAUAAAAUACGUAAAUAACCUAAAAUCUAUAGUAAAAGUUGGUGGAGCCAAAGUGUUUGGCUUCACCAACAUAACACGUCAGCAUUAGGGAUAAAAAAAAUCAAUUUUUUUAUGGAGCCAUGUAGAAUGGUGCAACCUGUAUAAAUAUUAGGGAAAUACUGCUAUUUUUGAAAAAAUAGGAGGCUCUAAAUAAAUUUUCCUUUUUUUGGUGGAGCCAAAUAAUUUGGUGCCACCAGAUUCUAGGCCUCUGCUGCAUUUUGUCCUUUUCCUCUCUUUUUUAUUUGUUUUUCUUUAUUUGUUUAUUAUUUGUUUUAUAAUAUUUUAAAUUUAUAUUUUAAAUGUUUUAUAAUAUCUGUUUAUUCAAACAUUUAUUUUUUGAAAAUUUGUUUUUUAAAAUUGUUUAUUAUUUAUUUUAUAAUAUUUUAAAUGUAUAUUUUAAAUAUUUUAUAAUAUUUGUUUAUUCAAACGUUUAUUUAAAUUUUUUAUUAUAUUUUUUAUAAUAUUUUUUAAAAAUUUUAAAUAAAUAUUAUAAAGCAAAUAAUAAACAAUUUUCAAAAAAUAAAUUUUCAGAAAAUAAAUGUUUGAAUAAACAGAUAUUAUAAAAUAUUUAAAAUAUAAAUUUAAAAUAUUAUAAAACAAAUAAUAAUAAUAAUAAUAAUAAACAGUAAAAGGACAAAAUGUAGCAUAGGCCUGGUGUCAAAUUAUUUGGCUCCACCAGAAAAAGGAAAAUUUAUUUAGAGCCCCCCAUUUUUUCAAAAAUCAUAAUAUUUUUCUAAUUUUUAUACAGGUGGCGUUAUUUUACAUGGUUCCACCAAAAAAUUGAUUUUUUUAAUCCCCAAUGCUAACGUGGCAUGUUGGUGGCGCCAAACACUUUGGCUCCACCAACUUUUACUGUAGAUUUUAAGUUAUUUACGUAUUUUAUCAAAAUAUAGGUCAUUUACGUAAUUAAUUAAUUUUUGGGGUUAGUUUUAUGAAGAAAAAAAGCCUUUUUUAUCCUUUCGGGGUGAUUUGACAAAAAUGCAAGUUUAAGAGCUAAGAGAGAUGAUGAAUUAAAUGAACGGCUAAAAUAACAUUUUUAUAAAGUUGGUGGACCAAAUAAAUCAUCAUGAUUUUUCCUUUUAAUUUUAAAAACACAAUAUAAUAACAUCUUAUUUGGCAACGAUGUCUACGUCAAUAAAUAAGAAGCAGUUAAGCUGCAUAACAUGAAUUAUUUAAUUUGUUAUUUAGUUGGUAGAUGACCGUGAUGUUAAAAUGGAUUCCAGGUCCAAGUGGAAUAGUCAUAUCAGACUCUCCUUUGGGCUUCCUCUACUGCAUUUUCAUCUAUCUAUUUUAAUUUCCGGUUAAACGGACAAACAUAAUGGAAUUCAUUUUAUUUAUGUACAUGACAUCAAUUCAAUAUUUUUAAAUUAGUCACCAGAUCGAUCCGAUUUAAAAAUUAUUAAAAAUUUAAAUUGAACAUUAAUUUAACUCUCUCUUUUUUUUUAUCAAUUUAACCAGUUUGUACGAUCUAACAGAUUAAAUUAGUGAUAUAAGACUAAUAAGGUUAAUUAAUGUGAUGAAAUAUGCGAAUGGGAAUGAAAAUAAGAGUAAGGUUGGACAGAUGUUGAGGUAUAGAGGAGACGUGGGUGGCUUUGGGGUUUGGGACUUCACAUGACAGAAAUGCAUGCUAUUUAUCAAAAAUAUACGUUUCACGUGCCUUUGCAUGGGAAAAAGUUGCCGAUUAUUUGGACUACCCACCAAUUUUGGUUGGUUUUAACACCAUCAAAACAUUUGCCCACUUGUUAAUCUUAUUAUAUAUGAAAUAUGAUUUCAAUCUUUGCAUUAUCUUUAAACUUAUUUAUGAAAAAAAUAUAUUAUUCCAUCUGCCCCUAAAUUAAGAAUUUUUUAUUUUUAAAAAGAUUCUUUUUUCUGUUUACAAUUUAUAAAACUUUUAAUGAUAAAAUUUUGAUUUAAUCCUUUUAAAAUAUAUAAACUUAUAGAUUAUUAAAAUAAAAAAUAUACAAUUUCAUUCUAGUUUCCUCUCGCUUCACCCAAAACAAUUAAGUCCUUUGGAAUUUUUUGCACCCAAAUGAGUCCUUAAACUGACAAUUUUGACAAAUAAGACCUUUUUACCAAUGUUGACCGUUAGAAACUAAUGACAACGGUGACGUGGUCGUUAAAAAUUAUAAUUUAAUGAUUUCUUUUAUAAUUUAGUUCCAAAAUGUAUUAGACAAAUAAUUGUCCAUGUAUAUUAAAUUCAAUUUUAAAUGUUUUUAAGCAAUUAAAAGAAAUUAUCCAUAAAAUUUAAUUUGAAUGUACAUCUUAAUGGAAGAAAUCGCAAAUUUAUAAUUUUCCAUCCUUUUAAAUUUCCUAGUUUUUUAUUUGACUUGAAAAAUCAAUUUAUCGGUUGAUUACAUUUUUAAAUUUAUUUAUGACAAGAAAAAUAUUAUCCAAUACAUUGGUGGAGAAACUUUUUAAUUUAAUUGACGUUAAAAAUUCACCAUUUGAAUUGAAAAUCCACCUCACCGUACUUCACAUCAUUUUUAAGGCCAAUUUAUCAUUGCUUUUAAGAAGUACUUUUAAAGCAAAAAAUACAUUUGAGAUAAAAAUAUUAUUAAAUAAGAUGUUUUUGAAUUUUUGAAAAAUGCUUUUGGAAUUAAAAAAAAAAAUACUUUGCAAAAGCACUUUUAAACCAAAUUACUUAUUAACCUAACAAUACUUUUAGAAGCAAUAUUAAACUAAGCCUUAGAGUGGAUUAGUUUGAAAUUUAUUGGACAAAUUAAAGUUUUGUUACCCCUAUUUUAAAUAUAAGUUAAAAAUAAGUCAUAUUUUCUUGAUAAUAUUUGUAAAAUUAAAAAAAAUGCUAAUGUGUUAAAUAAUUCCCAUAUAUAAAAGGUUAAAAUGUGCCAUAAGUCUUGGUACUCUUUAUAAAUUUAGAAUUUAAUUUUUGUACUUUUAUCAUAUGAUUUUAAUCCCUCUAUUUUUUAGAUUUCAAAAUUUUAGUUACAGCUGUAAACAUUAUUCAAAUUAUGGGUAAACUAUACAAAUGAUCGUUUAAUUAUUAAAAUUUUCAUUUUAGGCAUCCAAAUAAAAGAAAAUUAUAAUUUAAGCACAUAUCUUAUAUAAUUUGAUCAUUUUAACCAGUCCCAUUAAAAUGAGAAACGGAAAUUUGACACGGGUUUUUAAAAAUUAAACCUAAUAUUUAAAUUUUCAUUUCAACUUUUGUUUUUAAAAAAAAAAAAACCAAUAAAAUUGAAACGCGUAGCUUUAGCUUUGGUUUCAUUGUUUCACCAUCAUCACCAUCCUUCAUCAUCUCGUCAACAUCAGUUGAAUUGAAACCCCCAUGCCCCAAUCGUCAUCUUCUUCUCCGACACCAGCCUCCAAGACCUCUCUGACAACCACUCCUAUAUAUGCUUCUCCAAUCGCUUCUCUGCCGUCAACCGCCACUCCUCCAUUUGCCAAGCGAUGGUUGGCUUCAUCUUUUUAACUGGAGCAAUUGUAGGCCUUGAUGAAGUCAUUGGUUUAGCUAUGACUCUCCUCUCUACUUCUUUAGCCUCCAUUUCAUUAAUUUGGGUGCUUAAAUUGCAAAUUUUUUUUUAUUUAGAUGCUUAAAAUGAAGAUCUUUGAUAGUUGAUGAUCAUUUGUGUAGUUUAUCCUAAAAUUAUUAUGUUAAUUUCAGGUUGAUGAAAUAAUUUUUUUUUAUUUCAAAAUAUCACACUAACAAUUUAGCAAAAUUAGUAAUUAAAAAUAAAUUUUAAAAUAUAAAAAAAUAAGGAAACAAAAUUUUAAAAAAUAGAAAUAAAAAGAUGAAAUUAUAAAAUUAUGAAAAGAAGACAAUAAUUUAACCUAAAUAAAACUGGUAAGACUUUUAGAAAGGGCGCUAAACAAAAAAGGCAUAAAUCUUGAAGGUGUGGGAUACAGGCAAUGUGGAAGCUGUCGGGGAUUGUUUUGGCAAAGUAAGGUUUCGUUUUACACAAAGUUAAGAUUGGGAAUUCCCAGAAAGUAAAUAAAAAAAGGAGAGGAGGUUUAACAACCGCAAUUAUGGGGGUUUUGGUGACGACGACACAAGUCCUUUCUUUACUAUUCUAUUGUUCAAAUAAAUUUAAGGAAAUUGCAGUCUUUUUAAAUUGAAUGAGACAGGUAGGUGUAGGUUUAAGACUUGCUUUGGGAGACCUCCAAAAUUGUUGACAAUUUCCAAAUUAUUUUUUAGAACACUUUUAAUGGUCAGUCAACUCGUUCUCUUAUUCUUCUGGAUUUAAUUAGAGGAUUAAUUUUAUAUACAACCUUGGUUAAAGAUUUAUAAAGCAAGUUUCACUUUGCAUUCAUUAAGCAUCUACAAAAGCUAAUAUAUAUGCCAUAAUUUGGCAUUACACACCAAAACCAUGGACCCAGCCAGAUGGAAAUUGAAUAAUACCAAAGGAAAAGAAAAAUCAUAACAAAAGCAUGUGCCGACAUCACCUCUCAAAGGCACAAUCAAGUUAUACGAAUAUUUCAAGAUUUAUAAGCAGAGAUGUAGGCUUAGUUAUAUCAAAGACAGGUUUAAUCAUCCACAGCUUCUACAUACGUUGAUGACAAGAUGACAAGAUGAUGAAAUGACCAACGAUCAGUUAUUCAUUGCUUAAAAAAAACACUUCUGACUUUAAAAGUACUUUUAAAAGAAAAACUGUGAAGAACAAGCUGCUUUUGGCUGAAAUUUUUAACUUUUCAGAAGUAUUUUUCAAAAACACUUCUAAAAUGGAGCUGAAAAAGAGAAGUUAAAAAUUUUAGCUUUUCUUCCCAAAAACACUUUGGGUGCUUAAUUACUUUUUCACCCCUCCAAUAACAUAGUAUUUUUAUUUUUUUUCUUGGUGCUUAAUUACAAUUGUGUUAAAAUCAUUAAUUAGAAAUAAAAAAUAUUUUUUAAAAUACUAAUUACAAAUAUUUAAUGGUUAUAUUUAAAUAUUUAAAAUAUAGUUUAUAUAUUCUAAUUAAAUUUUAUAAAUAAUUAAUAUUUAUUGCUUAAAAAUAUUUAAAUUUUAUAUUUCAUAUAUUAAAAUAUUAACAACAAGUUAUAAUAAUUUUUUAUAUUCUUACUAAAAUAUAAUAACAUUAACUAAUUUAAAUAUUAUUUAAAUGCAUAUUUGUUACUUGAUAAUAACAUGUCUAAAAUGGACAAUUUAUUUCUCAAAAGUACUUUUUGACCGCAAUGCUAAACACUCAAAUUUUAAACUAAACUUUUCAAAAGCACUUCUCAAAAGCACUUUUCUACAAUACUUUUCAAAAGCAAUGAAGAACUGGCCCUAAAACACCACCACUACCACAACAACAACAAAAAAGCUGGAAAAAUAUGAUAAAAGUAUAGUGGAAACUCCUAUAUUAUGAUUCAGAUUGUAUUUUGCCUUUUUCACUAAAAAAUUAAUAAAAUUAAUCUCUAUAUAUUAGAUAAAAAAACAAACUAGUAUUCAUGUAAAAAAAAUCCAUCCAUUUCUCUUUUUUAAAGUAAAUGGGUUAAAGCCCUAAAUCCCAUACAUUUCUAUUGUUAAAAAAUUGGUCAUUACACUUCAACAUGAGGUACAUGUAGCAGGUCAUGUAUAACUGUUUGGUUAUUUCGUCAAUCACACCAAUUUUUCCCAGUAAAAAUGAAAGAAUUUUUUGUAACACAAAUGACCAAUUUACUCUUAGAUCAAACGUAUAUGAACUAAUUUGUCCAUUUUUUAGUAGAAUGGGGCAAAAUACAAUCUAACUCUUACUACAGGACCUUUAUGGUACUUUUAUCGCGAAAACACAUAAAGAUUCAAACAACCAAGAAAACAAUAUGGCUAUCGAGUCCAACCAAAAAUAAAUGCCUAGUUAAAAACAUAAAUUUUUUUAUAUAGUAGUGAAUAGAGUCGAAUUCACAAGGAAUAUUCUAUCUCUUUAAUAAAACAAAUAAUUAAAAAGAAUAAGAUUUUAAAAGUAAAAGUUGAAAUAUUACAAAUAAAAAUGUAAAAAAAAUUAAUAUUAUAAGAAUAUAGUGAGAAGAGAUAUCUCAAUUUUAAUUCAUAAAUUUAAUUUUGAUUAAAUAAUUACGGAUUUAAAAUUUUUAAUUAACAACAUAAAUAUUCUGACCCUAAAAAACACAUGUUAAAAAGAAAACAUAAAAACAAAAUAUAUUGUAUGCAACAAAGUCUAAAUUUAACCCUAAAAAUGUCUUUUUAUAGGUAGAAAAUUAGAUAAAAAUGGUUUUAAUGAAUUAAAAUAUUGUUUUUUCAGGUUUAUGAUAGUUUUGUGCCUCUAACAACCAUUUUUGGGCAUCUUUUCCUGAUGCUAAAAUAGAUAGUCAAACAUUUCGAUUCUCUUUUCAACUCUAGCUCAACAUAGAUUGAUUACAUCUUUCAACCUUCUCUACCUAUUCCAUAAAUAAUAAUUAAGCAUUGAGAAAAUUUCACUAAUAAACAGUCUUCCCAUGUGCAUUUUUUUUGUGUCCCAUCAUCUCUACUUUUAUGUUAAUUUGGUUUUAUUUUAUACUUGACAUAAAAUUUUAAUAAUAUCAGUAAUUAAACUUAAAUUUUUGAAUUGAAAUUGCAAAAUACUAAAUUUUUAAAACUAAAUUUAAGCUAGGAGUAUAUGGACUUUGAGCAUAUUUUAACUUGUUAAAGAAAUGCUAAAAAAUUGUGGUGCCAAAUUUCAGGUAUUUAGCAUUACCGUUAAAAAGUUGGAAAGUUGACAUGAUGUAAGAAAAUCAAAAAAUAAAUUAAUUUAAAAUUAUAUUCAAAUAUGUUAAUAUUACAUAGAUCAAAUCUAAAUUUUAAAUGCUCCAUAAGCAAUUAAGCAAUUAAUAUAAAUUAUUUGUAAAUUGGGUAAACUACACUAGAUCACCUAAUUAUGGGCUAUUUUUUUUACUCACUCAAUUAUAAUUUUUUUUAAAUUGGUCAUCCGAGAUUUUUUUUGUCCAUUUCCGUUAAUUGCACUAACAAGAGAGUGAUGUGACAAUUGAAAAAUUAGUACAAUAACAAAUUUAACCCUCAACUUUUACAUAUUAUAUCAAUUUAGUCAUAAUUUUAGAAAAUUAGCCCUCAAAAUUUACAAAUAGUCUCAAUUUGAUCCUAAUUCUAAAAAAUCAAAAAAUAUAUAAAAAUACAUAAAUAUUUUCGAAAAAUAUAUAAUAAAUUCAAAAUUUAUUUUAAUAUUUAUAUUGAUAUUUAAUAAUAGAAAGAAAAGAAAAAAACCAUCUCCUCCCCCACCGUCCCUUUCCCUCUCUCUCCCCCUCUCUAUUGUUGCUGUUGCUGCUGCAAUAGAGGUUUCAAAAAAAGGGUUCUAUGAAAACUAAAAUGGGAAAGGAAUAUUCUGGCUUUCAUGCAUCAUCUAAAGAGUAAGCUUGAAAAGUAUUCAUGUAUUUUUAUAUAUUUCAAAAAAUGGGGUGGAGGGUUUUUAUUUAAUAUUAAUAUUAACAUUAAUAUAAUAUUUAAAUUUAUUAUUAUAUUCUUUGAAAUUAUUUAUGUAUUUUUAUAUUAUAUUUUUUUUGUCAAUAAUCGUUUUAUAUUUUUAAAUUUAUUAUAUAAUUUUUAAAAAUAUUUAUGUAUUUUUAUAUAUUUCUUAAAAAUUAAUUUAGAAUUAGGAUAAAAUUGAGGGCAAAAUUUUUUAUCAUAUUGACUUUUCAAUUGCCAUGUUACCCUCCCAUUAGUGCAAUUAAUGGAAAUGAAUAAAAAAAAAUCUCAAUUAACUGGGUAACAAAAAAUAAAAACAUCCAUAGUUAAAUAACCAAAAAAGAAAAUGGCUCAUAAAUUAGUUAGGUUACUCGUGGUGUAACUUACCCUUGUAAACUUUAAUUUGAAUAUAUAAAUCAUAUUUUAGAUAUUAAAAUAAUUCUUGCAAAUUCAAAUAUAUAAAAUGUUAUAUAGGCACUAAGUUGUUAGUUACGAAUCAACUCAACAUUGACUUAAUACAAAAUAAUACUAAAAAUUUAAAAUUGAAACAAUUAGAGAAUAUUGUUAUAGGGUGUUUUUAUCUUUUUCUUACAUUUAUAUAAAAUUUAUAAAAAUAAAAUAAAUAAAAAAUGAAUAUAGAGAUGGCAGAAUUUGAACCUAAAAUAUCAAACAUUUUUAAUUUUUAAUUUUACCAUUUCAACUAAAAUUUUAUUGUUUUUGUAUAAAAUUUAUUUUUCACACCAAAAAAUAAAUAAUUAUAUAUUACAAAAAUACAUAUAUAUUUAAUAUUUAAAAUUCAAAGUAAAUUCUUUAAGCACUCUUAAAAAAGGAAAUUUUAAAACUCUACCACCAAAUUAGCUUUUAUUAUUCGUUUAUGGUUUUUAUAAAAAAACAAUUCCAUAAAAUUAAUUUAAGUUGAAGAUAGAAGUUAAUGGUAAAAAUUAAUUAUUUAAUAUUAAUUAGGUAUGUAUAAAUUUAAUUGUGAAAUGUAAUAUUUAUUAAAUUUUGUUGUGGUAGAGGUGUAUAAUUAAUUAAAUUUGAAAAACUGAGAUUUGUAUACAAAUACUUCUAUUGUCACGCAUCAUAUCUACGUUCUUCCCAAAUCCUAAACAAAAACGUAUGGUAAAGGUAGGACGGCAUUGUUUGGCUUAGGCUUAGCUCUUUGCACUUUUUAACUACGUAGAUACAAAUAAAUAAGCAAACUGGGAAUUUGACUCUCAAUGCUCCAUACUGCGACAUCUGCCGCUCUCUCAUUUUCAACUAUUUUCUUCUCUUCUCCAUUUCACACUUGCUCUUCUCUUUCCUAUAAAAUCCAAAUCUACCCGUUUCUUCUCUGCUAGCAUUUACUUCCUCAGGUAAACUCACCUUCUCUCUCCUCUCCCCUCUUCACUCUCUCAUUCUCUCUGUGUUUCUUGUUUGGUUUUGCAGAUAGAGAAAGUUGCUUGCAAUGGCGGUCUGUUCUUCCAGAGGUACAACUACAGAGUUUGGGGUUGUUUCAAGGAAAUGGAAAGAGAGAGAUAUAAGCCCUGAAAGGCACAAAAUCUGGAUUGAACCCAAGUCUCACCCCACCACCACCAACAGCUCUGAAAAGAAAGUUUCUGUUGUUUACUAUUUGUCUAGAAAUGGUCAGCUUGAACACCCACAUUUCAUGGAAGUUCCUCUCUCUUCUCAUCAUGGCCUUUAUCUCAAAGGUAACUGCAUUUGGUUUCCUUUCUGGGUUCAAAAUUUGCACAACUUCCUUUCAUUUUCAAGAAUUCUCUGUUUGGUUUGUAAGAAAGUUCAAAAUUUUAAAUUUACUUUCACGUCCCAAGAAAUGCUUUCUGCCAAAUGGUCGUGCCCAGCUCCAUAGCUGACAAAAGACCCAACUUUCUGUUUUCUCGUAAAGAAUAAAUUUGUUAAAAGAAGUGAUCUUUUUUCUGGUUCCUUGUUUUUCUAAUCAAAACCUUUUCUUCUCUUUGUUUGGAUGCCGAGAAAAAGCACCCGAUUUUAUUCUAAAUUUCGAGCAAAUUGAAUCUAAAAUUAUCUCGUUUUCUUUUCAUCUUUCAGAUGUAAUCAACCGCCUAAACCUCCUUCGAGGCAAAGGCAUGGCUAGCCUAUACUCCUGGUCCUGCAAACGGUAACACUCUCAUUCAUUCCUAACCGUCUGAUCACAUUCCCUCACCCUUCGAUAUUUAAUAUUAUUCAGUGUUGGUUUUCCUAAACUCAGGAGUUACAAAAACGGCUUCGUUUGGCACGACUUAGCGGAGAACGACUUUAUUUACCCAUCUCACGGCCAAGAAUACGUUCUCAAAGGAUCGGAGGUUCUGGACCAUUCGAUAAACACUAAAUCCUUGGAAGUAAAGUCGUCUUCUUUUCGGCUAACAAAACCGUUGGAGAGUCAAAAAUCCGACAACGGUCAUGAUUUUCCGUCAAUCAGACGGCGGAGGAACCAGUCUUGGACUUCCAUUGAUCUCAACGAAUACAGAGUUUAUAAGGCCGAGUCUAGUUCCGAUUCAGCACGGAGACUCGCUGCUGAUGCGUCGACUCAGACUGAUGAUAAGAGGAGAAGGAGAAAGGCGAUGGUUAAGCAAACGGAGAUUGAGGAAGUGCAAAGUGAAAGUCAAGAGUUGGAGCAGAAUCAAACUUCGGAGCUGAACAGGGAAGAGAUUUCACCUCCGCCGUCGGAUUCGAGUCCGGAGACGCUCGAAACCUUGAUGAAAGCUGAUGGACGGCUGAGAUUGUGCAAUGGGGGUAACGACGAUAACUUGAAUAAGACUGCUGAGGGUUGCCAAAGUGGUAGAAUAAAGGCGCCGUCUGUUUUGAUGCAGUUGAUAUCCUGCGGUUCCAUCUCGUUCAAGGAUCGUGGACCAAGUUCGGAGAGGGAUCAAGGGUUCUCGUUGAUUGGGCACUAUAAAUCAAGGUUACCUCGUGGAGCAGGUGGGGAUUGUAACCAGGUGGGAAAAGAUGCAGGGAUUGAAAGGGAUAUUGGGAGCUUCUCAAGGGUAAGAUUGGAAGAUAAAGAGUACUUCAGUGGGAGCUUGAUUGAGACCAAGAAAGUUGAAGUUCCUGCCUUCAAGAGAUCUUCUUCAUACAAUGCUGAUAGGUAACUUUGUUAAAGCAUUUCAUUUCAGAUUAAUACUUAAUAGCUUUGAAUUCCAAGUUAGUAUGAUUCAAGCUUUUGUUAUGUAGAAAGGAAAUAGCAGGCAUAAACCAAAUUCUACAUCUUGAUAUGACUCGAAGUGGGGGCUGACUCAAUAAAUUAGCUUUGAAUUUUAAGUUGAAAAUGAACUGUUGUUUACCUGCAAAACAAGUAAAGUUUGUUCUCACAUUUCCAGGGAAUUGGAAUUUAUGUCUGAAUGAGACUCUGGUUGGCCUUUUCUGUGUCUUGCUUGUAAGAUUCGUACUUGUCUUUAGCAAUAAGCCAGCUAGAGCUAUUCAUUUUUGUUGCAGAGGUACAAUCUAUUGUUCAUCUACUGGAAACAUCAGAUGAAUAUCUCUAUUCAUUUAAUGAUGGAUCAUAUAAAUUCUGGCCGUCCACAUUCAUAAUACACAUAUUCAAGACCAAUGGUCCUAUAAUUGGGGUAAAACAAACAAAUUCUGUUAAGAUUUUAAGCUUAUAAUCAAUUGGUGUAAAACAAAUAGACUAGCAUUUAUUCUAGUUAGAUUGUUUUUUUUUUUUUGGUUGCUUGUUCAUUUGAUUAAUUUGGGAACUUUGGAAUCAUCAGGAGUUCGCAGUUGCAGUUGGAAGAAAAGGAGAUGGAUGGCGUGCGUGCUAAGUGCAUACCAAGGAAGUCGAAAACUGUGGCAACGAAGAAAGAGGGCAAUAUGAACGGAGAUAUAUGUGGCGAAAAUGGAAGCAAAAGGCAUGAAGUGUAGGGUCAGCAUUGUGCAUUGGUGAUUGGAUUUGGUAUGUGAAUUGUAGUAGUUUGGCAACAAGAAAGAGAGAGAAAGAAGUGAAUGAGAAUGGAGAAAUAUUACAAGGCAAAGUAAGCUAAGCUUGCAAUGUAUUGCAAGGCACGGCACGGUGAAAGUCCCCACAAUGAGAGGGACAAUAGGGUUGGGAAUCUUGUAAAGGCUCCUUUUUGUUGAAAGGGUGUAAAAAUUUUGUCCAUUUCAGUUUGGAAAGUUUGAACUAAGGUCAAAUUUUGGUGCCUUGAUUUUUGUGGGAGGUUUUAGCUGACUGGGUUAAGCUUGUGUUAAUUUCAAUGUAUUGGCACUAACCUCUAGUAAUUUUAGGGUCUUAUGACUAUAAGUUGGUUUGACUUUUGAAAACAUGGGAAAUGGAAUUUCAUCCUAGAGAUUGUCACCUGCAUUGUUAUUUGGAUCCCAUUGUAGGAAAGUUGUGUUUUUUCAUGGAGAUUGGAGCUUUGAGACUUGAAACAUGUACACUGAGAAAGUUCCAACAUUUUGUUACAAUAUGUAACACAAAGCCUACUUUUUCUUCAAUACAUGUGAAAAUGACUACAAAUCGCCUGUUAAAGUAUAGUUCUAAUUGGUCCUCAGCUUAUUGCAUUUUCAUAAAACGCAUCACCAUAACCAUUUGAUUUCAAGGCUUUUGUCAACAAUGUUGAUAAGUAGAAUUAUAACGAAACUCAACGUUGAAAAUGACGAGCGACAACAAAUAAAAGGAAGAAAAAUGUUGCAGCACCCCCAUAUGCCUUGCAUUGCAUUAUUCGGAGCAAGAGCGUUGAAGUGACCCAUAGGCUGCCAGCAGUUCAAGCCCGACAUUGUCUACUUUUAGAGGGUUUCCAGAUUUUGAUGAUUCCUGUUUCCUGCCUUCGACAACGCUUUCAUUUGUAGGGUUAUUUUAAGACUAUUUCUUUAAGCAUACUAAAACUGAAAUUAUUUUUCCAUAAACAAAAGGGCCCCUAGAUUUUAUUGGGAAAAACGGUCAACAAUAUUUCAGAAGGGUCGGUGAAUUUGGAAGCUUAACCAUAUUAAUUUUCUCUGAUUUUCUUGUCAAUUGUUUCGUAUUUUCAAUGACAAGCAUGAACUAUACUUACUUAAAUAUUUAAACAUGAAUUAUUGUAACUUUUUAGUUCAUUUUUUAAUUAUUAAACUAAUCAAAUCACUAAUUUUCGAUUCAGUUAAUUUAAUCUAUUCUAUCUUUUCCUUUUUUAAUUUUAAAAAAUAAAGAAAAACAUUAAAAAUAUUUCCUUGUUAAAACUGCAUCUUUCUUUUAUUUUCUACAACUCAUAUUUGAGGUUCAUGACUACUUGUCUCUAAAGUCUGUACAUAUGUCCCCUUAAAAAAUGCAACACACCUUACUAUUACAGGUUACAUCCUUUUUCUUUAAUGAUUACUAAGACUAUACCUACCAAAAAUACACUCACAAUUUCUCUUAAGUUUAUAGCCAUUUGUGUAAUUUACCAAUCCCCCCAUUCUUUGUUUGAUACCGACAAUUGGGAUUGCUUUUUGUUUUUCUUUUUGGGGCUGGGGUAAAUAAUGUUUGGGCGUUAGUAGGCUGUUUAAAAUGUUUUUCUCCAUUUGCCCUAGGUUAAUUUAGUCUAAAUAUCCGGUUUUUUCUGAUUUUUUUAGUAGUCGGUUAGUAAUUCAAACAAGCUUUUAGGGUUCUUUGAGAAAAAUUGUAACAGCUGGUCUACAUCAUCAUUUUUUUUUUGUUUAAUUUAAACCGAUUGAGUUUUUUAGAUUGAAUUGAAAUAGGUAAUUCUUGAAAAAGAUAAUAUGAGACUAGAUAAGAAUUAAACAACAUAUGAUCAAGAUUAGAGUCUAUCCGUAAAUCAUCUUUCUAAUGUUAAUUUCCAUAAAUUACAUUAAAACUUUAGAUCCCACAUUGAAAGAAAAAUAAAGGAUUACUAGAUUAUUGCAAAGUGUCAAAUAAAAUUAUGAUACUAGAAUUUUAUCAUAUAAAAAACAUAAACAUUGUCUUUCUUUUUAAUAUUAAUUUCCAGUUUACCAAUUAAUGGAUUUAGUUUAAAAUUGUAGAAUUAGUUUUCAUUAUUGGAUAAAAUUUAGUGUGCGAAUUUAGUAAAAUUUGGGUACUAAUCACUUUGUUGCGAGUUUCGAGACGUAUACUUGUGAUGCAAAAAAAACACCUUCAGCAUGGAAUUGAUGAGUCUUUUUCAUAUAACCAUAGCGUCACCUUUCAUCAACUAAGCCCACCUUUCCAACAAGGAUGCCAUCCUGUCCUUUUCCCACCAAAAAGCUCAUACAUCUCUAGUCUUGCAUGGAGCUAAGGUCUCAUUAGUUCAUACACUGCAAUUAAUAACGUACAAAAACAUUUACAAAACUAUAUAUAGUAAAAACAAAGUGGAAUAUGUUAAUUACUUAUCUAUGUAAAUCAUUAUUGUUGAACUUUCUCAUAAAAUUAACAUAAUAUAUCGAAUGCGGAGGAGCCCAACGUCUUGACGGACACCUGAUUGCAGCUUUUUGACAACAUUGGUCUAACCCUGACAACAGCAAAUCUGUUUUGGCUUUCAUCUACUGCAAUAACAUCAUUGUUUGCUUGUAUCAAUAUAGAAACACUUGAAAGUCUAAAACACCCCUCGCCUAUUUGGUCUCCUUUGUAGGCAGGAAGUGUUUCCAAUUCCAACAUGGUACUAGCAAAAGUUAAGACAUAUCGUUUUAAGAUUGAUUGCAAUUGCUUUACAGUCAAGGCGUGAGCUUCUGUUUUGCCUUGGGUAAUUUUUUGUAUCAGAUUCAGGAUUAAGACCAAUAUCGUCGGAUUUGCUUGUACCAAUGACAUUAGCAGCUACAUAUUAUGAUGAUCUUCUAUUUUUGUCAAGAAAUGCAUGUAUAUAAGGAUCACUAUCUUUCAGGAUUUCCUAAAUCUAUUUCUUUAAAAUGAUAACUUCAUCCUCUAAUUGCACCCUUCGCCAAACUUUACCCACUUGCCAACAUAAUUGGUCAGCAUAAAUAUGUCUACUUUGUAAUCUACAACUCUGAUAAUAACAUGGAAAAUGUUAUUGAAUCCAACUUACGCCAUGUCGAUAAUGUACAAAUUUGUCACUAUACUUUAGAUAGAAAUUGAAAUUUGCCACUAUGAUUUGGUUUUGUCAUCAUACUUUUAAAUUAAUAGUAAAUUUACCACUGAUCUACUUCAACGUUAUAUUGAAUUUUGUCACUUAACUUUUAUUUGAAUAAAUUUUAAAACUAAAGUUUGAAUCUUGAUUAAAUUAGCUUAACUUAAAUUUAAUAAAAAUAAUUGAAAUAUUGUAGUUAAAUGAUUAAAAAUAACUGAUUGAUUAACACAAUAUUAAUUAUUAAUAAAAACUAUUAUUUAUAAUAAUAAUAAUAAAAACAAUGUAUUCUUUUUUAUACUUUUUAAAACUUCCAUUAAAUAAAAAUUGGAAGUUUAUUCAUUAAAUUUAUAAAGUAACUUAAUGUUCGCUAUUAAAAUAAAAAUAAUUGAAAUAAUAUUUUUCUAUUAAAUUUUGUUUUUAAAUCAUUAAAAUUAAUAUUUAAUAGUAAAAAUUUAGUUAAAAAAUCAAAGUUAGUGCCAAAAUUAAUUAAAAUUCAAAGUUUAGUGAAUAAAUUCAAUCAUGCAUAUUCUUGAAGUAUAAUUGCUAACAUCAAUCAAAAUAGAAUAUAAUGACAAAUUUCAAUACCCACUUAUAAUAUAGUGACAAAAAUUACACCAUAACCCAUAUAUUUUGAUAAAAUAAUUUUAUGCAAAGAAUGAUGUUUAUCUAAUAUAUAUAUAUAUAUAUAUAUAUAUAAGCACCAACUCUAAAAUUGCAAUUUGUCAACAACAUAUUUGCCUUUGAAAUUUUUUAAAAUUAUUUAUUUAAAUGGUAAUUUCACUUUUUUUCCAAUUUUCAACUAAUAAAUAUUAAAUAAAUAAAUUUUAUAUUGAACUUUUAAUUAAAAUUAAUAAAAAUAUAAUAUGUUGUAAUGUGAAACGAUAUAUUAUAUUAAAUAUCAUAAAAGGGCUUCUCUUUCAACUUUUAAAUAUUAACUUUUGUUUUGUUUUCAGAUUUGAACUACGCUUUUUUUUUAUGUUUUUCAACUAUUAAAUAUUUAAGUAAAUAUUUUAAAAAUUAAGCUCUAAGCUUCUGUUUCAUGUUAUCUUUUCAAUUUUUUAAAUACCAAAUUAUUUCGUGUUUUUAUCUUUUUACAAAUUUACUAUUGUUUUUAUCGUGUUUUAAAGUACCAGCUUCAUCGUUUACUCCUUUAAACUCUGAUGCUCAUCCUUCUAAAAUUUCUAGAGUUGAAUAUGAGGCACUUGAUUUAUCUAACUUAGAACACAAACCUGGGUUACGUAAGCAAAUAUAUGAGUAUUCGGUUAAUAUGUGUGAUGAAAUUCGAAGAGCUUAUAUUAAGUUUGGACCAUGUUAACCUAUUCUUUCAGAAUAUCCUGCUUCUAAUUCAAAAAAGCAUCAUCGUUAUUUUCAACAUCAUGGUUUAAACAAUUUUCCUGAUUAGAAUAUCCACCUUCUAAAGAUGCAACAUUUUGUUUUCUUUGUUUUCUUUUUAAUAGUAGUUCAAGUAAUUGUUUUGGGUCAAAUGCAUUUACUCAUGGUGGCUUUAGUAAUUGGAAAAAAGUACAUUAUGGAUGUAAUUGUGCUUUUUUGACACAUAAGAAAAGAUCCAAAUUCACUGCACAAUGAGCUUAUGUAGAUUUAAUGAAUCAAACUUGACAUAUUGAAGUAUCACUUGAUAGACAAAUAACACAACAAACUGCAACUAAUCGUCUACGUAUGAAAACUAGUAUAGAUGUUCGAUGGUUGAUGUUUCAAAGGUGUGCUUUUAGAGGUCAUGAUGAAAGCUCAAGAUCAAAAAAUUGUGAGAACUUUCUUGAAUUGUUAUCACUAUUAGCAUUUUAUGAUGAGAAAGUUGAAAAUAUUUUGAAAAGUGCUCCACAAAAUGCUAGUUAUACUUCUUCAACAAUACAAAAAAGAGAUACUGCAAAUUUAUGCCAGUAGAAUUCGUAAUGUAAUUCGUGAAGAAAUUGGUAACAGGAAGUUUAGCAUUAUUGUGGAUGAAGCGAGAGACGAGUAAAAAAAAAGAGCAAAUGACAAUUGAUUUGAGAUUUGUUGAAAAAAAGAAUUGGUAAAAGAACGAUUUUUUAUAUAGUCCAUGUUAAAGAUACUGCAGCAUUGACUUUGAAGAAUGAGAUUUUGAAUGUUCUCUUGCAACAUAGUUUUGACAUGCAAAAUAUCUGAGGUCAAGGUUAUGAUGGAAUAAGCAUUAUGCAUGGGGAAUUUAACGGCUUGUAAGCUUUGGUGUUGAAUGAUUGUCAAUAUGCUUAUUAUGUUCAUUGUUUUGCUCAUCGUCUUCAAUUAGCAUUAGUUGCAACAACUAAAGAAGUGGUUGAAGUGCAUUAAUUUUUUAAAGAUUUGUCUGAUAUUGUUAGUAUUGCUUUUGCUUCUUCCAAACAACACAAUGAAUUACAAAAAGUCCAAACAAUUGAAAUAAUCAAUGAGUUAGCACCUAGAACAGGAAAGAAUCAAAUUGACACUUUACAAUGUCCUGGUGAGACUGGAUAGAGAUCUCAUUUAAAUUCAGUUACUAGUUUACUGACGAUGUACAAUGCUACUAAUACAGUUCUUGAAAAUCUAAAAAAUACCGCUCCUAACUAUUCUCAACGAGGAGAUGCUCAUAACGCAUAUAAUAGAUUGAGAUCUUUUGAGUUUAUUUUUAUUUUGCAUUUAAUGAAGGAAAUUUUAGGAAUUAUUGAUAAUCUUUGUCAAGCUUUGCAACGUCGUUCUCAAGAUAUAUUAAAUGCCAUGAGUUUAAUUUUGACAAUAAAAGAUUCAAUUCAAAAGUUGAAAGAUGAUGGAUGAGAUGAAUUGUUGAAAAAUGUCACAUCUUUUUGUGAAACUUGGGAGUUGGAUUUUUCAUAUAUGAAUGUUCAAUGCAUUUUGGGUCGUAGUCGUAACAAGAAGGAAGAUGUUAUAGUGAAACAUCAUUAUCGAGUAGAUAUAUUUUUGUUACAAUAGAUACUCAGUUGCAAGAACUAAAAAUCAUAUUUAACGAAAAUGUUGUUGAGCUUCUCACUCUUACUACAGUUUUAGAUCCCAAAGAGUUUUUCAAGUUAUUUGAUAUUGAUAAAAUUUGCAUUCUUGUAAACAAGUUUUAUCCAGAAGAUUUUUCUCAACAAAAGAAAAACGUCUCCCAUAUGAGUUGAAGCAUUAUGAACUUGAUGUUUGUAAGCAUCCUGGUUUGAGAAAAAUAUUAACACUUUCUAAACUUUGUAGAGCUUAAUGAAGAGUGGAAAGUCAAUCAUGUACUCGCUUGUGGAUAGAUUGAUUUGUCUUAUAUUGACUCUUCCAAAUUCAACUGCAUCUACAAAACGUGUUUUUUUUGCUAUGAAGAUUGUGAAGACUCGACUUCGUAGAAAGAUGGAAGAUGAUUUUUUGAAAAAUUCUUUAGUUGUGUACAUUAAGACAAAAAAAUUGCAUAAAAAUGUAAUGUAAACGAAAUAAUUGAUGAUAUUAGUGAGAUCAAGGAUCGAAGAGUGCAAUUCAAACAAAUUUAAAAAAAAAUUUAACUUAUUUUUAUUUAUUUAUUAUUUUUUAUUUAAUUAAUUUUUAUUUUUAAAAAUACUAUUAUUGUUCAUUAUCUUAACCCCUUCUUGAAAUUUUCAGGCUUCACCUAAAUGGUAGUUUAAUUGUUUUUUUCAAUUAAUUUACAAUUCAGUUGAAAUUGUAAUUAAUUUAAAUUAAAAUAUCAAUUAGUUUUAUUGGCUUUAUUAUUUCAUUAAUAUUCUUAUUAAUGUUAAAAUCAUUCAAAUAUAUAUUUUUAUCAUGCAUUAUUUCAUAGUAAUAUAUCUACUUAACGUUUCUUUUUUUUCUCAAGUUUUAAUUAAAAUUAACUUCACAUUUUUUUUGUUUUAUUUCUAUUUAAUGUUUCACAGCCUUCUUUGUUUGUUUUUCAAGAUUAAAUUAAAAUUAAUAUAAUCAUUAUUGUGAUUUCAAAUUUUAAAUAUUAAAUUAUUUGAAAUUAAUAUAUAAUUUUCACUUUUUUUUGCUUUUCAAUUUUUAAUUAAAACUAAUAUAACUAUUUUUUUAUUUCUAUUUAAUGUUUCACAUUUUUUUUCAAUUUUCAAUUUUCAAUUAAUAUAAUCUUCACUUAAUUUUAUUUUUGUUUUUCAAGUUUUAUUUCUCAAUUUUUCUAUAUACAAACCUUGAAGAAAUUAGUUGAUACAAACUUCUAUAUAACAAAAAUAUAAUUUACAAUCGACUUAUUAACCCUCUUUAUAAUUAUACUUAAAUUUCAAAUAUAAAUUUAUAUAUUUUAUUUUACUUUUCAUAUAAACAUAAUAUUUAAAUUUAGAGGAGGAUCAACUCAUAUGAAGACAUGAUAAGUAGUACAAACAAUAAGUAAGACGCUACAAACUGAUAUCAAAAUGUCAUAUCUGUAAAUAAACCCAAAAAAAGUUUAUAAUUUCAAAUGAACAACACAUUAUUCUAAAUGAAUAUCAAAAAUUAAAAUUUUAAAAAUAUAUAUCGCAUGCUUAUAAUAACACAAGAGGUCUACUUAUUGUAUAAUAUACAAAGAGUAACAAAAUAAAUUGAAAACAUUUGAUAUAAUAUAAUUGAAUUAUAAUAAAAGGACGAUAAAUUAUGGAAUGGUGAUUUGAGAGACAAUUAACAAGUCCUACUAUAUUGCUCUUUAUAAAUAAUUUGUCACCAAAGAUCCAUCAAUGAUGACUCAAGAAUGUUUUCCAAAGAUAUGGUAAAAAUUUUAAAUAUUCAUACAAAACAAGUUGAUUAUUAAAGUGCACAAAUUUGAUAGUCAAAUUCAUAAGCAUUGAAGAGGCAAGAUCUAUUGCAAACAAGUUCAAACAAGACAUGAAACCAACGUGAACAUGGUGAUUUCAAAAUCCAAUGGACACUAAGGGUCCGUUUGAUUGUGGGAUUUGAUUUUUCGGAAAUUGUUUUCCAACUUUUCCAGUGUUUGUUUGGCGGAAAUGUUAGAGUAGUUAUCAAAGUAGUUAAGACUGUUAGUGUGGUUAUCAGUUGCAGUUAGUCUGUUCUAGCAGUUUCUUUAUUGUACGUAUGCUUAUAAAUGCAUGAGACUUCUACAUGCAUUAGAUAAGCAAUAAUAAAAAGUAAGAAAGUCUUCUUUUCUGAAUAUUUUUGUAUAAGUCUAACAUGGUAUUAGAGCCAGGUUGUUUCUUGGUGUUUUUUGCUUGAUUUUCCGCUGUGUAUGUUCAGUAUGGCUUGCAGUUCUGUUGAUGCAGUUGUCGAUAGUAGGAUUUUUUCAUCAAAGAAGAUCAGUAUUCUUCUUGAUGAUAGCAACUAUUUGUUGUGGUGACAACAAGUUCUUUUGGCAGUCAAAGCACACAAGCUUCAGCGUUUCUUGGAUGAGAAUCAAGAUCCUCCUACUCAGCUUAUUUCCGAUGACAGUGGGGGUUGUUGUGAAAAUCCAGAGUUUGCACAUUUUGAGCAACAAGAUAGUGCGCUUGCUUUGUGGCUAUUAUCUUCUAUCAGUCCGUCCGUCCUCCCUCACCUUAUUGGCAUGGAUACAAGUGCAAAGAUCUGGAAAGCGGUUGUCGCCUUGUAUGGGAGUAAAACCACUUCCAAGUUGAUGUUUUAUCGGCGGACUUUGCACUCUCAGCGCAAGGGUGAAAUGAGCAUGAAAGAUUUUUUAGUCAAGAUUAAAGGCUGCUGUGAUCAUCUUGCCAGUUGUGGUGAAAUCAUUAGUGAGCAUGAGCACAUCACUGCAAUUCUCAAUAGACUUCCUCCAGACUAUGAAUCUAUUAUUACCAUUGUUACUUCCAGCCAAGUUCCCUACACGGUUCAAGGAGUAGUGUCUAUGCUUCUUGAUGCUGAAGCACGACAACAGCUUGUGAGUACUGAAAUUUCUAGUUCUGCUAAUGUGGUGUCGCAUCAAACGUCUGACUCCACAGUUUCUAAUGAUUCCAUUCUUUCUUAUCAACCAUCGUCUAUGAGUCGGGGGCGUGGGCGAGGUCGUUCUUUUCACUCGAAAAUUCAAUGUCAGUUGUGUGGGAAGGCUGGUCAUCUUGUUGAUCGCUGUUAUCAUCGGUUUGACUCUUCUUACAAGAGUACCAACUACAAGCCUCCUCCACAAGCAAACAUCAGCAUGGCUGGUUCCGGUCCUUUUACUACGCCUUGGUUCACUUCUUCUCAACCUCAAUGGAAUUCAUCAGGUUGGUGUUUUUCCACUUCUCCAUCUUCUACUUGGACUAAUCCGUUUGUUGGUAGUCCUCCACAACAGGUUCCCAUGCCGUCCUCUGGCACAGCUCCAACACCACCUCAGGCGUAUGUAGCAACCCCUGAAACUGUAGCUGAUAAUUCUUGGUAUCCGGAUUCAGGGGCCACGCAUCAUUUAACAAAUUCAGCCAGCUCCAUUGGUGAUGCUGGAUCUUUUAAAGGCCCAGGUAAGGUAUUUGUUGGCAAUGGUUCGGCUUUGCCUGUUAUGUCUGCUGGACAGUCGUCCUUGCUUACUCACUCUCGACCUCUGUACAUGCGAUCUUUGUUACUGGUUCCUGGAAUUACUAAAAAUCUAUUAUCUGUCUCCAAGUUUGCCAAAGACAAUAAGGUCAUGUUUGAAUUUUUCUCUGAUCAGUGCCAGGUGCGUGAUUUGAAGACAAGGGAGAUUUUACUUCGUGGUUCCGUUCAUCAUGGGUUAUACAGGCUUCAUAUUAAUCAGUCUACUGGAGCUCAUGCGCCUUCUAAGUCUACUCAUUGUUUUUCGACUAGUGUCAAACUUCCUCUUAGUGUUUGGCACUAUCGACUAGGACACCCCUGUCGUGCUAAUCUUACAAAAGCACUUAUACGAUGUAAUAUACUGUUUACUGAUAGUAAUAAAUUUGUUGAUUGUGUUGCAUGUCAUCUUGGUAAGGAAUGUAAGCUUCCUUUUACAAAAUCAGCAACUGUGUAUACGUCACCUCUACAACUGGUUGUGGCUGAUGUUUGGGGACCAGCUCCGAUUGCUUCCAAUGGUUUUCGGUAUUACGUUGCCUUCACCGAUGCUUAUUCUAGGUAUACAUGGCUUUAUUUUCUGAAGAACAAGACUGAAAUUCAAACUGUGUUUCCACAAUUUCAUCGCAAAGCUGAAAGAAUACUUGGAACAAAUCUCAAGUCUCUGCAGACAGAUGGGGGAGGAGAGUUUCAGGCAUUGAAAACUUAUCUUAAUCAACAAGGUAUUGUGCACCGACUCACUUGUCCCUACACAUCUGCUCAGAAUGGCCUUGUUGAACGCAAACACAGGCAGAUUGUUGAAGCAGGUCUUUCUAUGUUAGCUCAUGCAUCAAUGCCUCUGAUGUUUUGGAAUGAAGCCUUCUGCAGUGCCGUAUUCUUGAUUAACAGGUUACCCUCUCAUCCUUUGAGUGAUGUCUCACCAUAUGAAAAACUAUUCCAAACAAAACCCGAUUACUCUUACCUUAGAACUUUUGGUUGUUUAUGCUUUCCCAACAUUCGGCCAUUUACCAAAACAAAGUUACAAUUUCGUUCAAUACCCUGUGUUUUUCUAGGUUACUCCUCAGUACAUAAAGGUUAUAAAUGUAAAGACCCCAAUGGCAAAGUCUAUGUCACCCGUCAUGUCACCUUUAAUAAAACUACUUUUCCAUACAAAAGUUAUUGUUCACCAGUCACAUCACCUAUUUCUACUUUUCCAUACAAAAGUCAUUAUUCACCAGUCACAUCACAUAUUUCUAGUCCACAAGUUAGUGCUAAACUUUUAGUUGUUCCUUCACCUCAUGUGUCGUGUUCUAGCACUUUGCCUACACCUCCACCAAAUACGCCACCUACCUCUACUACACCUAUCCCAUCACAUUCAACACCUACCUCCACUACACCUUUUCCAUCACAUUCAAUGUCUCACUCACAAUCUGCUUCCCAUAAUGUAAUACAUAAUACACCUACUUUAUCACCUUUACCACCUUUUUCUCAACAAACAGUACCAUCCCCACAAUCUGCACCUGUGUCGACUUCUCUUCAACAACAGGAGCAAACCCUCCAACCCUUGACACUCAACAAUCAUCACAUGAUUACCAGAAGCAAGUCUGGAGUUUUUAAGCCAAAUGUGUAUCUUAGUACAGCAGCUUCUUCCCCAAAAGAUGAUCCUUCCAAUAUUCAUGAGGCAAUGAUGUUUGAGUGUUGGCAGGAAGCAGUUUAUAGUGAGCUCCAAGCCUUGGCACGAAAUAAUACCUGGACUUUGUGCUCCCUUCCAGAGAAUCGGAGGGCAGUAGGGUGCAAAUGGUUGUUUAAGGUAAAAAGAAAGUCUGAUGGCUCCAUUGACAGAUACAAGGCUCGGUUAGUUGCAAAAGGUUUUUCUCAACAUGCUGGGUUUGAUUUUCAUAAUACGUAUAGUCCAGUGGUUCGAGCUUCCACCAUCCGCACUGUUCUUUCACUUGCAAUUAUGCAGGGGUGGUCUCUUCGCCAAGUCGACAUCAACAAUGCUUUCCUCAAUGGUAAGCUUACUGAAGAAAUAUACAUGGACCAACCUCCUGGCUUUGAAGUCCCAAGUGUCUCUGGUCAGAAACUGGUGUGCAAACUAAAUAAAGCACUGUAUGGUUUGAGACAAGCUCCUCGUGCCUGGUUUCAGACUCUUAAGGAGUAUCUCGUGACUCAACUCGAUUUUCAAGCAUCUAAAGCUGAUUCCUCCUUGUUCAUUCGUGUGUUUGAUGGGAAGUGUCUUCUACUCAUGGUAUAUGUUGAUGAUAUUGUUCUUACUGGAAGUCAUGAUCAAGACAUUGAAGAUGUUGUGCAGCGGCUUCACAGCAAAUUUGCUCUCAAGGACAUGGGAGCACUCAGUUUUUUUUUGGGCAUUGAUGUUCGACGCACUUCACAGGGGCUGAUGCUCAGUCAAAAGAAAUAUGUUACUGAACUACUUGAGAAGACUGGAAUGCUUGGAGCAGCAUCCACACCAACUCCGAUGGUAAGCACGCCUAAGCUAGUAGCUUCUGAUGGCAGUCCUCCAUUUUCUGAUGUGCACUUAUAUAGAAGUGUUGUGGGCAUGCUUCAAUAUGUUUGUAUUACACGGCCUGACUUGUCGUUCUGCACCAAUAAACUUAGCCAAUACAUGAGUGCACCAAGUGACACUUACUGGAGAGCAGUCAAACGGGUAUUAAGAUAUUUAGCUGGCACCAUGGACCAUGGUUUGUGUCUUACAGCAGGACAACUAGAACUGGUAGGAUAUUCGGAUGCUGACUGGGCUUCUUCCAUUGAAGAUCGGCGUUCCACUUCUGGAUAUGUGGUAUAUCUUGGAUCAAAUCCGGUGGCUUGGUGUUCAAAGAAACAGUCUGUAGUCUCUCGAUCCUCUGCUGAAGCAGAAUAUCGCAGCUUGGCUAACUGCGUGUCUGAACUCCUAUCUAUUCAACAGUUGCUAAAUGAAGUUGGAAUGUCAAUGUCUAAGAUACCAACCAUCUGGUGCGACAACUCUUCUACAGUAUCUGUUGCUGAAAAUCCUACUCAUCAUACUAAAAUGAAACACGUUGAAAUAGACCAUCAUUUUGUUCGUGAAAAAAUACUUGCUGGUUGUUUACAAGUCAAUUUUGUUCCCUCUGCUCAACAAAUUGCAGAUGUCCUUACAAAACCAAUCACGCCUAAGCAAUUUUCUUCCUUCAGACGUGCUCUUCGAGUGCUGCCAUCGAAAGAUCUUUGUAAUACAAAAACAAAUAAGCAAGGGGAAUGUUAGAGUAGUUAUCAAAGUAGUUAAGAUUGUUAGUGUGGUUAUCAGUUGCAGUUAGUCUGUUCUAGCAGUUUCUUUAUUGUACGUAUGCCUAUAAAUGCAUGAGACUUCUACAUGCAUUAGAUAAGCAAUAAUAAAAAGUAAGAAAGUCUUCUUUUCUGA